Molecule: long non-coding RNA, 57656 nt
Filed under: Prunus persica (peach)
Lineage: Eukaryota; Viridiplantae; Streptophyta; Magnoliopsida; Rosales; Rosaceae
Description: long non-coding RNA (PPER_LNC001842)
Rfam family: tRNA (bases 53476-53545)
Source: RNAcentral
AAAAAAAAAAAAAGUACUUAACCAAAUGCAAUUGCAAUAGACGUUUGGUUUAAAUUGGUUUUAGUCCUGUUUCCAAUUUUUCCGAUUUUGGACCGGAUUAUUAUUAUUUUUUCAAAUUAUUAUUUUUUAAAUUCAAAUUCCUACUAAAACUUUAUUUUUUAGGUUUGAAAAUUUACAAAUGAUCUAAUUUCAUGCAAAGAGAGAUAUUGGGCCUAGAAAAGAAUGAUGUUUUGAAGUUGGAUUUUGGGAAAUAUUAGUUAUAAGAUUAAAAAGGUAGUAUUGGAUUUAAAUAAUUUUGUAAAAAAAAAUAAAAAUAUACACAACCAGUUUGGUCCGAUUUGUUAAGGUGUGAAACCGAAAUCGAAACCAGUUUGAACUGGUCCGGUCCAGUUUGUUGAGUUUUUAGUCAACUGAUUUGUUUUCCGAUUUUUUCCAUCCGGUCUAGCUAGGUGUUCUGAUUUUCCAGUCUUGAUGCCCACCCAUAGAUAUAACUAUUGAUAUGAAGCUAUUGAACUGUAUCAUUGCAAGUAAAGUUGUAGUUCAAUUUAAUCGAUGUCAAAAUAGUUCAAUAAAUUAAACUAUUGCAUUGAACUAUUGAACAACCAUUGUGGAUGCUUAGGAGCUUGGGAAUGUGUUUCAAAUUGCAUACCUAUGUUUGGUAAGUGCACUCUUGGGAAUGCAAUUAUGAACUCAUAGAUAAGGACUUCCCAUGUAGGGGCGAAGUUCAUGCCCUCGGCUUACCAUAGAAAACUUUUUCCCCUCACUUGAGAAAGCAUUUAAUAAUGUUUUUUUUGGACUAACUUACUCCUAUUAUAAUUUUUAAAUACCAUUUUUACACCCUUAAAAAAACUCUUCAUAUAUUAACCUUUAAUAAUUAAAAAAAAAAUCAAGGGUAUUGUUGGAAACUUAAUAACUUUUCAUUCAUAAUAUUGCACUAACCAAACAUGGGAAUGAGAAAUAGUUGCAUUUCCUAGUCCUCAUUUCCCACCGUUUUCAAAUGUGGGAAUGAACAUCCUCCAUUCCCAUCUCGUGGGAUUAAAUAUGGAAAAUUUAUUUCUAAGAAGUUCAAUGGCGAACCACACGGGCCCUAAGGUGACUAUGCCUUUUGGAUUUUGCUUUUGUUUGCCUUCAGCUUAUUCAUACUCAUUUACAAAAUAAUAUCAUUUUUUCACCAUUAAACUUAUAUAGGCGAGCCCAACAUAGCCAAUUUAUUAAAUAAGUUGACUCUAAACAGGUUGGACCAGCCCAACAUAGCCUAUUUAACACCUCUAAUUAAACACCUAUAGAAACUCAUGAUAUACUUUUGUAACAAUUUCUAUUAAUUUAAUCACGCACACAUGACAUAGCUUUCUUUUGAGAGACUUUUUUUGUUCGUUCCUCCACCAAACUCAAACCCUAUUCGCAAUUCCCUCUCUUCAUCUCUCUCUUCCUUUCCUUUUCUCUGGUCACAACGCCUAGUCAUUUCAAACAAAGACGAGAUAGACUUUAGGGGCACAUUGGAACUUUCAAAAAGUUUUGGAACAAUAAGAACCGAACCGAAAGUCGAGCAUGAGGAGGACUGUUAACUUUUUCUUUAACUUUUUUUCCAAUAAAACAAAUCUGUGUGGGGUUGUGGAGGUUCGAAGCUAUGACGCUUUCCACUGACGAAGGGCUGACAAUCAAGUCAUUAUAUACUGAUUGGCUGGCCUAAUUCUUUCGGAUUUUGUCUAACUCCAUAUUUUUUGUUUCUGUAAAUAUCUGACUCUAUUGUACUGUUUUAAUCAACUGAGUGUGCCGUACAACACUUUUUCUUUUUCUUUUUUUUGGUGAACGCCGUACAACACUUUACCUUUUACUACAGAAUGCUUUUUUUGUUUGGUUCUUUAAACACGAUGUUUCUGAAACGUAUUGAGCACAAUGUCAUGUUCAUGUCCUUGUGUCUUGCUCCUUUUUCUCCCCUCUGUUUUUCUACGAUUUACCAGUCUUUCUUUGUUAGGCAGAGGUGAGGUUCGCCUUUCCAUACAACAAACUAUCAACCUUCGUUGGAGAGCGAGGACCCCUUCUUCUUUGUUUUUUUUGUCUUUCAAUUAUAUCUGAGUCUCAGAAAAUGGGAGAAAUAAGGAGAACUGAAACUGAUUCAGGAAGCAGAUCGUCAAGCUUUUCCAUUUUACAAGAUGAUCAAGAAGGCUUUUCACCAACCUCAUCAAACGCACUGGUACUUGUCCAAAACGCACCAAUUGUCUCCUCCUACAAUGAGAGAAUCCGCCCCAUGCUUGAUGCCAUUGACAAGCUCCGCAACCUCAUGGUUAUGGAUGAAGGCAUCCAGCUGCCCACCAUUGUUGUUGUGGGAGACCAGUCAUCUGGCAAAUCCAGUGUUCUUGAGUCCCUCGCCGGCAUCAGCCUGCCGCGUGGACAAGGCAUCUGCACAAGGGUUCCUCUCGUAAUGAGGCUUCAGCACCACUCUGAUCCUGAACCAGAGCUUUCACUGGAGUACAAUGGCAGAGUUGAGCACACCGAUGAGGACAACAUUUCUGAGGACAUUGUGAAUGCCACCAAUCUGAUUGCUGGGGACAGCAAGGGAAUUUCAGACACCCCAUUGACCUUGUUGGUGAAGAAGAAUGGUGUGCCUGAUUUGACCAUGGUUGACCUCCCUGGAAUCACUAGGGUUCCAGUUCGUGGCCAGCCUGAGAAUAUUUAUGAUCAAAUCAAAGAUAUAAUCAUGAAGUACAUAAAGCCCGAAGAGAGCAUCAUUUUGAAUGUGUUAUCUGCUUCUGCUGAUUUUAGCACAUGUGAGUCAAUUAGUAUGUCGCGGAGUGUGGAUAAAACCGGUGAGAGGACUCUGGCUGUGGUUACAAAGGUUGAUAUGGCACCAGAGGGACUGCUGGAGAAGGUUACAGCUGAUGAUGUGCAUAUUGGUCUUGGCUAUGUCUGUGUAAGGAACCGGAUUCGAGAUGAAACGUAUCAGGAGGCGAGGGCUAUUGCGGAUCGAUUAUUUGAAACUGAUCCUUUUCUUUCGAAGAUUGAUAAGUCUAUGGUUGGAAUUCAGGUUUUGGCUGACAAGUUGGUCCAAAUUCAAGCUGCUAGCAUAGCUAGAAACUUGCCUGAUAUUGUAAAGAAGAUCAAUGACAAGCUGAAUUCUUACCUUUCAGAGCUCAACAAAAUGCCGAAAAAGCUCUCAUCUGUUGCUGAGGCCAUGACUGCUGUUACGCAGAUCAUUGGAACAUCCAAAGAAUCACUGAAGAAAAUUCUUGUGAGGGGAGAAUUUGAUGAGUUCCCGGAUGACAAACACAUGCAUUGCACGGCUAGGCUUGUUCAGAUGCUCAAUAAGUGCUCAGAUCAGCUUCACGAGUGCAAUGAGAGUGACAACAAAAGUAAUUUCUUACUGGAGGAGAUUGCGAUUUUGGAGGAGGCCAAAGGUAUCAACCUUCCCAAUUUUGUUCCGCGCAAUGCUUUUCUUAUAGUUUUGCAGGGUAAAGUUAAGGGGAUUUCGAGCAUACCUAUUGGGUUUGUUGAGCAGGUUUGGAGUUAUAUUGAGGAUGUGGUUUUGUCUGUGUUAAUGAGAAAUACAGAAAACUAUUACCAUGUUCAAUUGUCUGCCAGAAGAGCAGGCCAUAAUCUUAUUAAAAAGAAGAAAGAAAGAUCGAUUAAUUGGAUGACGGAGAUAGUGGAAAUGGAGAAAAUAACUGAUUAUACAUGUAAUCCGGAAUAUCUAUCCGAAUGGCAUAGGCUCAUGACUGAACAAGAAACAUUCAUCCAAAAGGUCUUGCGUGACGCUGAGAUAAACAUAAAUGUAAAGGGAAUUGGGAUGGUUGAAGUUGGAGGUCUAAGGAAGUACACACAUGUCCUGUUGUCUCAAGCUUUCGACUUGAAAAUGCGGAUGACUGCGUAUUGGAAUAUUGUGCUGAGAAGGUUGAUUGAUAUCAUGGGUUUGCAUUUGCAGCUGAGUGUUUCAAACCUUGUGAACAAGGACCUGGAGAUGGAGAUUAUGAAUGAGCUACUGGGACCUAACCAUGGUGGUGGGAUUGAGAGGAUGCUGGAGGAACCUUCAUCAAUGGCAGUGAAGCGCCAGAAGCUCAUCAAGAGCAUCAAAAAGCUCAAGGAGUCCAAAGAGGUUGUGUGUAAGAUCAUGGACGACAGGUUUAGUUACGCCGAUUACCUUGUGUGAUAGAUAACUAAGGAGUCCAGUUAAAUUAUGGUAUGUUUCGUGUGAAAGAAGGCAUUUUGCCAAUGAUGUGUGGUUGAUCUGUUUGUACUUAAUUAUGGAUCUGCAUUUUGUUUAUCAUGUACCUGGUUGGUUGAUGUUCUUGUGUGACUUAAUUAUAAGCACAUUCUGUUUUUGUCUUUUGGGUUGCUAAACCUUACCCGGCUUGUUCCUGGAAUAGGAGGAAAUUUCUAUCCUCUGUUCCUUCCUAGAUCUCUUAAUUCAUGACACUGUGGGUGAUGGUCGAAACACCUUCCUUUGUCAUGAUCACAAUUUGAACCCUUUUGGGGCUUUUCUCUUUGAGUUGGGACCCUUGUUAGUCUUCCAUUUGGUCAAUGGGAAUCUAUUGGCAUUUUCUUUUGCCACGCUCAAUGGGAAUAAUAAAUCACUUCCCAAUGGAGCUCUGGCCUUCUAGGCACUUAUUCUUUAGAAUGUUAUAGGCCCUGUUUGAUGAACAUGAAUCCUAACCAUUGUUUGGUGGGCUUAAAAUAUAUUAUAGAUUGGAUAUGGGUAUGGACACCAAUCCAAAAUAAGAGCGACUCCAAACUCAUCACUAGAGUGAAGACCUUUAGACCAUCUCCAAAGGUGAAAGGCUCAAACCCCAAAUUUCACCUCCCGAAAUACAACUUUUCAUCUAUACAUAGGACUCAAGCAGUAUUACAACAUUAUGUAUACACUUUACAAGUUUAUGGAACAUUGAUGUCCAAAGCAUUGUGAUAUAAUUCCUUAAUACUGUAAACCCUUGUGUUUACAAGAAUAAAGACCACCUUUACUUCUCCAAGGCCAACUCUUUCCUCAACCUUGUAAUGUGGAUCCUUUCUAUUGUAAAUCAUAGUAUUACAAGAUUAUGGAUACACUUACAAGUUUAUGGAAUGUAGAGAAUGUGGUACCAACCUUCGAACCCAAGACCACUAGGAGUAGGUUGAGGUCUAAAACAUGGUAAAAAAAAGGUCCUUAAUAUUGUAAACCCUUGUGUUUAAAAAAGGUCCUUAAUAUUGUAAACUCUUGUGUUUACAAGAAUAAGGACCACAUUUACUUAUGUAAGGUCCACCCUUACUUCUACAAUUACCAAACAUGGAGAUAUUAAUUGCAUAAAUGAAGUGCUUAUUGGACUGCAAUUGAAUUUUAUGUACAAAAGAUGUGGAACCCUGUUGGAUGGUACAAUAGAUCGAUCUUAAUCAAUUUUUAACUCUAGUCCAUUUGGUGAUUAAAAAAUUUUAGGUAAGUUUUUAUUUGAACCCAAUUAUUUUAUAAGUAAACUCAACAAAGUAGACAUGUCAAUGGAUCGGAUUUUGAACCGAAUCCAAUUUGAAUUCGAUAUAAUUAAUAAGAGAUGGAUUGGACUUCUCAAUCUGAUAAUUUGAUUACAAUCCAAAUCUGAUUAUAAAUAGAUAUGGAUUAUAAUUGAUCAGAUCCGAUAAUAAUCCGAUAACUUAGUAUGUAGUAUAAUUUAGUUUUUCUAGGCUUCAUAUUAAUAUUUUAUAUGUGUCAAUGAGUAAUUUUAGUUUUAUAUGCACUAUUAAUACACUUAAAACUAAUUUUUAAGAUAAAAUAUCACAAAUUGAUAUAAAAGUAGAUAAAUACAAUAAAAGAACAAAGCUAAUAAUGAAAUUUUGAUUUUUUGUACAUCACAAAAUAAAUCAGAUAAUAAUCCGAUCCGAUCUGAAUUUGAUGCGUAACAAAUAUGGAUUGACAGGUACAAUUCGCUAGUCCAAAUACGAUAUGAAUCCGAUAAUCCGAUAAUCCGAUAAUCCGAUUAUAAAUGAAUUCGAAUUUAGAUUGAUGUAUAUCCAAUCUGAAUCCGACCCGUUUACAGGUCUACAACCAAUGUUUCUUUUAUCCCAAAAAAAAAAAAAGAAAAAAAAAAGAAUUUCUUUUAAAAAAAAUACAAAUUCGUUCAUUAUAAAAAUAUUGUUUUAAAAUUUUCAGUAUUACAUUAAUGACAAAAAACAAAAAACAAAAAAAGGAAAACCACAACACCAUGAAACUGUGGGUGUACGGUCUGGUUUUGGUCUUAAUCAACUGAGUGCGCCGUACAACACUCUUACCUUUUACUAAAGAACGCUUUACCUUUUAUUAGAGAAUGCUUUUUUGUUUUGGUUCUUUCAACAAAACAAAAAAAAUGAUUGAAUGAAUGAAUUAUAUGUUUCUGAAACGUAUUUGUCUAUGUCAUGUUCAUGUCCUUGUGUCUUGCUCCUUCUUUUCCCCUCUGUUUUUCUAUGAUUUACCAGUUUUUCUCUGUUAGGCAGAGGUGAGGUUUGCCUUUACAUACAACGAACUAGCUACCUUCGUUGAAGAGCAGAAGACCCCUUCUUCUUCUUAUUUUUUGUCUUUCAAUUAUACGUGAGUCUCAGAAAAUGGGAGGACAGAGAAUUCUAACUGAUUCAGGAAGCAGAUCGUCAAGCUCAUUCAUUUUACAAGAUGAUCAAGAAGGCUUUUCACCAACCUCAUCAAACGCACUGGUACUUGUCCAAAACGCACCAAUUGUCUCCUCCUACAAUGAGAGAAUCCGCCCCAUUCUUGAUGCCAUUGACAAGCUCCGCAGCCUCAUGGUUAUGGAGGAAGGCAUUCAGCUCCCCACCAUUGUUGUUGUGGGAGACCAGUCAUCUGGCAAAUCCAGCGUUCUUGAGUCCCUCGCCGGCAUCAGCCUACCGCGUGGACGCGGAAUCUGCACAAGGGUUCCUCUCGUAAUGAGGCUUCAGCACCACUCUGAUCCUGAACCGGAGCUUUCACUGGAGUACAAUGGCAGAGUUGAGCACACUGAUGAGGACAAUAUUUCUGAGGACAUUGUGAAUGCCACCAAUCUGAUUGCUGGGGACAGUAAGGGAAUUUCAGACACCCCAUUGACCCUGUUGGUGAAGAAGAAUGGUGUGCCUGAUUUGACCAUGGUUGACCUCCCUGGAAUCACUAGGGUUCCAGUUCGUGGCCAGCCUGAGAAUAUCUAUGAUCAAAUCAAAGAUAUAAUCAUGAAGUAUAUAAAGCCCGAAGAGAGCAUCAUUUUGAAUGUGUUAUCUGCUUCUGCUGAUUUUAGCACAUGUGAGUCAAUUAGUAUGUCGCGGAGUGUGGAUAAAACUGGUGAGAGGACUCUGGCUGUGGUUACAAAGGUUGAUAUGGCACCAGAGGGACUGCUGGAGAAGGUUACAGCUGAUGAUGUGGACAUUGGUCUUGGCUAUGUCUGUGUAAGGAACCGAAUUCGCGAUGAAACGUUUGAGGAGGCGAGGGCUAUUGCAGAUCGAUUAUUUGAAACUGAUCCUUUUCUUUCGAAGAUUGAUAAGUCUAUGGUUGGAAUUCAGGUUUUGGCUGACAAGUUGGUCCAAAUUCAAGCGGCUAGCAUAGCUAGAAACUUGCCUGAUAUUGUAAAGAAGAUCAAUGACAAGCUGAAUUCUUACCUUUCAGAGCUCAACAAAAUGCCGAAAAAGCUCUCUUCUGUGCCUGAGGCCAUGACUGCUGUUAUGCAGAUCAUUGGAACAUCCAAAGAAUCACUUAAGAAAAUUCUUGUUGGGGGAGAAUUUGAUGAAUUCCCGGAUGACAAACACAUGCAUUGCAAGGCUAGGCUUGUUGAGAUGCUCAAUAAGUGCUCAGAUCAGCUUCACGAGUGCAAUGUGAGUGACCCCAAAAGUAAUUUCUUACUGGAGGAGAUUGCGAUUUUGGAGGAGGCCAAAGGUAUCAACCUUCCCAAUUUUGUUCCGCGCAAUGCUUUUCUUAUAGUUUUGCAGGGUAAAGUUAAGGGGAUUUCGAGCAUACCUAUUGGGUUUGUUGAGCAGGUUUGGAGUUAUAUUGAGGAUGUGGUUUUGUCUGUGUUAAUGAGAAAUACAGAAAACUAUUACCAUGUUCAAUUGUCUGCCAGAAGAGCAGGCCAUAAUCUUAUUGAAAAGAUGAAAGAAAGGUCGAUCAAUUGGAUGACGGAGAUAGUGGAAAUGGAGAAACUAACUGAUUAUACAUGUAAUCCGGAAUAUCUAUCCGAAUGGCAUAGGCUCAUGACUGAACAAGAAACAUUCAUCCAAAAGGUCUUGCGUGACGCUGAGAUAAACAUAAAUGUAAAGGGAAUUGGGAUGGUUGAAGUUGGAGGUCUAAGGAAGUACACACAUGUCCUGUUGUCUCAAGCUUUCGACUUGAAAAUGCGGAUGACUGCGUAUUGGAAUAUUGUGCUGAGAAGGUUGAUUGAUAUCGUGGGUUUGCAUUUGCAGCUGAGUGUUUCAAACCUUGUGACCAAGGACCUGGAGAUGGAGAUUAUGAAUGAGCUACUGGGACCUAACCAUGGUGGUGGGAUUGAGAGGAUGCUGGAGGAACCUUCAUCAAUGGCAGUGAAGCGCCAGAAGCUCAUCAAGAGCAUCAAAAAGCUCAAGGAGUCCAAAGAGGUUGUGUGUAAGAUCAUGGACGACAGGUUUAGUUACGCCGAUUACCUUGUGUGAUAGAUAACUAAGGAGUCCAGUUAAAUUAUGGUAUGUUUCGUGUGAAAGAAGGCAUUUUGCCAAUGAUGUGUGGUUGAUCUGUUUGUACUUAAUUAUGGAUCUGCAUUUUGUUUAUCAUGUACCUGGUUGGUUGAUGUUCUUGUGUGACUUAAUUAUAAGCACAUUCUGUUUUUGUCUUUUGGGUUGCUAAACCUUACCCGGCUUGUUCCUGGAAUAGGAGGAAAUUUCUAUCCUCUGUUCCUUCCUAGAUCUUUUAAUUCAUGACACUGUGGGUGAUGGUAGAAACACCUUCCUUUGUCAUGAUCACAAUUGGAACCCUUUUGGGGGCUUUUCUCUUUGAGUUGGGACCCUUGUUAGUCUUCCAUUUGGUCAUGGGAAUCUAUUGGUAUUUGCUUUUGCCACGCUCAAUGCGAAUAAUUAAUCACUUCCCAAUGGAGCUCUGGCCUAGGCACUUGUUCUUUAGAAUGUUAUAGGCCCUGUUUGAUUGGCCGGAUUGGAUUAGAUAGAUUCAAUUAAAAUGGACAUGGAUCCUAACCAUUGUUUGGUGAGCUUAAAAUAUAUUAUAGAUUGGAUAUGGGUAUUAGACACUAUUCUAGAAUAAGAGUUGUUCCAGAAUCCAUCACCAGACAUGAGUUUAUAACAAACGUCUUCUCUGGUUUGCCUUAUUCGUCGUCUUUGAUUUUCCUUCUCCUCUCUCUCUCUCUCUCUCUCUCUCCUUACUAAAAAAAGCUUCAGAUUUCUCUCUGAGUCUUUGUUUUUGAUAUUAUUGUUAAAUAUUUUUAUAUUUUGAUGAUUGUUGUCUUGUUCUUUUGGGUUAGAUGCCGAAUGAUGUAUUUUUUUGUUUAUAAUUUUUUUUUUAUUGACCUUUGAUUGGAAACUAAUCAUUGAUAUGAGUUUGAGUUUCUGGUUCAAUUCUUGCAAAAGUUGGGGGUUUUUCUUCAAUUUGAGGCAAAAAGUUAGGAAUUUGCAUCUGAUUCUUGUUAAGAAAAAAAAAAAUUUGAACUCAAUCCUAGUCUAUUGUUUGGUGCAAAAUUGAAUGGGGACUCAAUCCUAGUCUGAGUUUCAUCCUCUUUGGUUAGCCAUCAAUCAAAGGUAGGCUAGCCACUGUAGACAGACUUUAUGCAUUCUUUGUAAUUCUUUCCUUGAGUCUCAUGAACGUUUGUUCUUUGUAUAGAGGCUCACUCAGCAAUUUUUGUUGCACAAAAUAGUUUUAAAAAAAAUGUAUUACAAAAUACGAAAAAUUUAAUUUGUAAAGAGACAAAAUUCUGAAAAUUUUGGUCUUUUUUAAAUUAAAAUUUUUUUUUAUUUAAAUUGGCCGUUGACAUGAGUUUGCCUAGGCAACAACUCAGGUAAGUCUUGCCUUCGGACUUGCCCAUUUUCUCAUAACUAUAUUCCUAUAUUCAUAUCUUCUAAGAUUCCUUGUUUUCCAUAUCUUCUAAGAUUCCUACGUACAUUAAAGUGUCUCAUUCAAAAAAAUAUCAAACAAACAAAAAGGAAUAGCUGUAAACUAUGGUCUGUGUUUCACAUUGUGACGCAGCACAAACAACAAAGGUUUCAAGCGAAAUCUUGAGUAGCAAGAUAUCUGGAUUCCACCAGAAAUUAAGAGGAAUUCUCUUUGAAAAAUUGUAUUAAAAACUGAGAUAAUGAAAAACGACAGACCAACCUGUCUAAAUACAUCAUUCUCAACCCUUGAACUACCAGGGGAGUUAUUACAUUAAAACUGGAAAAAAAAAAAAAGCAGACUUAAUUCGGAGACAUAACUACGUAACUCCGAAACUGAAAACAGAAUUUAUUCGGAUAAUUAACUGAAAACUUUGAAAGCAGUUUUGGAAGGCCAAACAACCUCAGAACGCCAAAAUCCAUCAUACAUCACAGCAAAGCUGUGAGUUUGACUCGUGGCGUCGUUCCCUUUCCGAAAUGGUAUUUUGCGUCCUAAUCGGAGCUCGGACGACAAAUCUGCAAAUUCCUGCUACGUCCUUUUUCUAGCUCAACCGCGAUAAAAUCUGCCAUCUAUUCUACAUCACAUUGUGCCCUUCAAUUAUUCUUUUAUACAAGCGAUGUUGGGCUUCAAUUAUUUGUUUGAUCAACAUGAGCUUUUGAGAAGUUCUUAUUUGCCCUUUACCAUCUUCUUUUGUCACAAUUUCUAUUAAUGUAAUAGUAAAUUUAGUGACGUUUUUGUUCAUUCACCUCUACUUAAUCCAAACCACAAUAACAAUAUCCCUCUCUGCAUCUCUCUCUCUCUCUCUCUCUCUCUACUUCCUUUUUUUUCUCUGGUCACAAUCGAUACGCAGAAGGGCCAUCUACAUAAAAUAUGCAUCCUCAUCAUGUCAACAAACGAACGAAAUACAAGACGUACGAGGGAACAUUGGAGCUUUCCAAAAGUUAUGGAGGAAUAAAUACCAAAGCGAAACUCUUAAGGCUAAACUGGAAUAUGGUUCUUUAAUUUGGGAAAAAACAAAAAAGAAAAAAAGAAAAAGAAUAUGGCUCUGUGCCCAAAAAAAAGAAGAAGGAAUAUGGUUCGAACACCACGAUACUUUCCACUAAGAGCGUUUCCAACUGCUUGGGCUGGGGGAGGGCCCAAAAAUCUAUUCUAGCAGCUAGGGCUAGCCCGGGCCAGCAGUGGGUCCCACGGGACUGGGCUAGCCCGAAAGCAAGGCUAGCCCAAGCACGAGCCCGAGUUUUGGGCUGACGUUAUUGCUGAGGCCAGGCUGGCGUCAGCCCUCUAAUUCAACUUUUUUUUUACGGUAAAAAAAAUUUGCACGCACGCGCCUGCUUUUCGCCAACGGAUAGAAGCCACGUGGAGGGGUAUGGGCUCUCUGAUUGCUUUUUGUCCUCUAAUCCAAUGGCAGUCAAUUUUUUUACAAUAAAAUUAUGAAAAAAAUUUGAAAUUUUUUUAUAAAAAAACCCAAAAAUUAAUGAAUUUUUUUCUAUAAAUACCAACCAAUACUCUUUACUUUUAACACAAAAUCCUCGUACAUUUUCUUCUCCUUCAACUAUUAUUCACUUUCUACUCAACAUUUUAUUCACUAUCAAUUUUUAUUUUUCUUUAUCAUCUUAUGGCUUCUUCUAUCGAAACCAGAGGGGCAUGGAGUAUCAUGGAAGAUGUUUUGUUGUGUGAGUGUUGGGUCCAAAUUAAUCAUUGUCCCGUCACCGACAAUGAGAUGAAAUUCUGUCAUAUGUAGAGAAAAAUUCAUACCGAAUUUUGUGAAAGAUUGGGUUCGACCCGUACGAAAAUGACAUUGUCCAGUAGGUGAAAAAUUCUCAAUAAAAAGUUGGGGAAAUAGAGAUAUGCCUUGGCAAAGACACUGCUCAUGUAUGACAUUAAGAAUGAAGUAUGAAUUCUAAAAUAUGAGAAAUGAAAAUAUAGAGAAGAUUUGGUGUGAGAGGUAUGAGCUGAGCCUCUGGUUUUAUGGAAAAAUUUAGGCAGAUACAGAUGACAUGUGGAGCGAUUUUAGAGGGUGAAAAUCUUAUCUAAAAUUUGAAAUUCAUAUGAAAUUUGAAAUUUGAAAUUUAUUUGAAAUUUGAAAUUUAUCUGAAAUUUGAAACCGAAAAUUUAUCCAAUUAUGAGAUAUGAAUUUUAUAAUAAAUAUUGACACGUACGAACCCAAAAAUCUUAUCCGAAAAUAUUAUCCAAAUUAAUUGUUUAGGUAAAAAAAUUUGUAAAAAAAAAAAAAUGAAUAACAUUUGCCCUUUGCAAUGGCAAUGAGUAGAAACACACAUUGCUUUUUGCAAAGGCAGCCACUAUUCACGUGAAUAGUAUCUGCCCUACCCCCUCCCCCCUGCCAUGGCAAAGGGCAAAUGAGUGAAGUUGCUCUAAGAGCUUCCAUGGUAGGAAGGUGUAAAUUCGGGGUUGUAAAGCCGCUUUUAUAUCUCAUUUACACAUCUCUUGCGGAUAUAAAUUACGUUUUUGCUCGUUUUUGAGUUAACUAAGGGCAGAUAUAGGGCUGAGGACUACUCUAUAAAUGAUGUUGUCUCUAUAGUUGCCACGUCUAUUUUCUGACCUUAUUAUUUUUUUGGUCAAUAGUGAUGAAGUUUCCAUUAAGAUGAUGAAGGCAAGCCAUGAAUGGAAGCCGAGACACAUCAAAUGAAACCAGGAGUUCGUAGGCUAAAAGACAUAUCUAAAAGCCCCGAGACAUAAAAAGAAAAGCAAACAAACACAUAGACUUGAUAAUUAAGUACAAACAGAUCAGCAAAUGACAGAAUGCCUUGAUUAACAAGAAACAGACCAUAAUUUAGCUAGACUCCUUAGCUAUAUCUAUCACACAAUAAGUUAAUUGGCAAAAGUAACGAUGCCAUCCAUGAUCUUACACACAACCUCUUUAGACUCCUUGAGCUUUUUGAUGCUCUUGAUGAGCUUCUCGCGCUUCACUGCAAUUGAUGGAGGUUCCUCCAUCAUCCUCUCAAUCCCAUCACCAUGGUUAGGUCCCAUUAACUCACUCACAAUCUCCGUCUCCAAGUCGUUGUUCACAAGGUUCGAAAUACUCAGCUGCAAAUGCAAGGCCACAGAAUCAAUCAACCUUUUCAGCACAACAUUCCAAUAUGCAGUCAUCAGCAUUUUCAAGUCGAAAGCUUGAGACAAUAGAACAUGUGGGUACUUCAUUAGACCUCCAACUUCAACCAUCCCGAUUCCCUCUACAUUUAUUUUUAUCUCAGUGUGAGGUCCAAGUCCCAGAUCAUGAGAAUUACGAAAUACCUUUGUGAUGAAUGUUUCUUGUUGAGUCAUGAGCCUAUGCCAUUCGGAUACAUAUUCCGGAUUACAUGUAUAAUCAGUCAGCUUCUCCAUUUCCAAAAUCUCCGUCAUCCAAUGAAUGGACCUUUCUUUCAUCCUUUGAAUAAGAUUUUCGCAUGCUCUUCUGGCAGACAGCUGAAGCUGAUAAUAUUCUUCUGUAGUUCUCAUUAACACAGACAAAACCACAUUCUCAAUAUAAUUCCAAACCUGCUCAACAAACCCAAGAGGUAUGCUCGAAAUCCCCUUCACUUUUCCCCGCAAAAUUAUAAGAAAAGCAUUGCGCUGAACAAAAUUGGGAAGGUUGAUACCUUUCGCCUCCUCCAAAAUCGCAAUCUCCUCCACUAAGAAAUUACUUUUGGAGUCACUCGCAUUGCACUCGUGAAGUUGAUAUGAGCACUGAUUGAGCAUCUCAUCUCAACCAGCCUAGCCGUGCAAUGCAUUUCGUCAUCCGGGAACGCGUCAAAUUCUCCCAUCAAAACAAUCUUCUUAAGUGAUUCUUUGGAUGCUCCAAUGAUCUGCAUAAAAACAGUCAUGGCCUCAGCAACAGUUGACAGAGUUUUCGGCAAUUUGUUGAGUUCUGAAAGGUAAGAAUUCAGCUUGUCAUUGAUCUUCUUUACAAUAACAGGCAAGUUUCUAGCUAUGCUAACAGCUUGAAUUUGGACCAACUUGUCAGCCAAAACCUGAAUUCCAACCAUAGACUUAUCAAUCUUUGAAAGAAGGGGAUGAGUUUUAAAUAAUCGAUCCGCAAUAGCCCUCGCCUCCUCAUACGUUUCAUCUCGAAUCCGGUUCCUUACACAGACAUAGCCAAGACCAAUGUCCACAUCAUCAGCUGUAACCUUCUCCAGCAGUCCCUCUGGUGCCAUGUCAACCUUUGUAACCACAGCCAGAGUCCUCUCACCAGUUUUGUCCACACUCCGCGACAUACUAAUUGACUCACAUGUGCUAAAAUCAGUAGAAGCAGAUAAAACAUUCAAAAUGAUGCUCUCAUCUGGUUUUAUAUACUUCAUGAUCAUAUCUUUGAUUUGAUCAUUGAUAUUCUCAGGCUGGCCAUGAACUGGAACUCUAGUAAUUCCAGGGAGGUCAACCAUGGUCAAAUCGGGCACACCAUUCUUCUUCACCAACAAGGUCAAUGGGGUGUCUGAAAUUCCCUUUUUGUCCCCUGCAAUCAGAUUCGUGGCAUUCACAAUGUCUUCUGAAAUGUUUUCCUCAUCAGUCUGCUCAACUCUGCCAUUGUACUCCAGUGAAAGCUCUGGUUUAGGAUCAGAGUGGUGCUGAAGCCUCAUUACGAGAGGAACCCUUGUGCAGAUACCUUGUCCACGCGGCAGGCUGAUGCCGGCAAGGGACUCAAGAACACUGGAUUUGCCAGAUGACUGGUCUCCCACAACAACAAUGGUGGGCAGCUGGAUGCCUUCCUCCAUAACCAUGAGGACGCGGAGCUUGUCAAUGGCAUCAAGCAUAGGGCGAAUUUUGUCGUUGUAGGAUGAGACAAUUGGCGCGUUGUUGAAAAGUAGCUCUGCUUUUGAUGAGGAAAAUGAUAAGCCUUCUUGAUCAUCUUGUAAAAUGGAUGAGCUUGAUGAUCUGCUUCCUGAAUCAGUUUGAGUUCUCUUUCCUCCCAUUUUCUGAGAUAUAAUUGAAAGCAAAUGGGAAGAGGAAGUCAUGGACAAACCGAGAGAGGAGAAAAAAAAUGAAGGGGGUUGUAUUAGGCAAACUUGACCUCUGCCUAACAGAGAAAUCAUGGAUAAAUAGAGAAAAAAGAUACAUGAACAUGACAUGCACAAUAUGAAAGAUGCAGACAUAGGAAUCUUUUACCUUAAUAUGGGAAUUUAUGCUUUGGUUUUUGUUUUAAGUCGGAAGGGAACUUAUGCUUUUGUACAUCCAACUAGUGGCUGAAAAUGCAUGGACCAGUCACUUCAAUAAUGCAUGACAAGUUACAACACAAAAUGGUGUCUACACUACCAAAAGUAUCAGUGAAGUUCUCUUCAGCGUUCCCACUAUCACACGAAUUUAAACGCAAGAAUAUACGAGUGAGACCAUCUCCAAAGGUAAAAGACUCAAACCCGAAAUUUCACCUCCAGAAAUACAAUAUUUCAUCUAUACAUAGGACUCAAAACUUUUUUUUGUGGAGGGGGGUGGUGGUGGGGGUGGGGAGCGGCGCAGAUAUAUGAUAUAGCAAUACAAUUACUGCAAUUAGAUUAGUGUUGGCCCUCUCAGAAAAUGAAAAACCCAUGUGCAAGUGAUUUUGUAAUUUUGGCCCUUCCAUGCUAAGAAUCCUAGCUCCGCCACUGCACUUGCAUAUUACAUUUCGUGUUCUUAAAAAAUCUACAUAUUAUAUUCAAGAAUCAAGCUCAAUCGCAUGAUAGUAAGAAAAGGAAAAUUCUCAAUAUUUAGAGCACACUUGGAGCCCUAAGUGGUGUGCUCUCCAAGAGCAUAGCAUUUCAGGGCAUGAUCAAGCUGAUCAUCUAGUUUCGUACAGGACUUGCACUCUUGCUUGUUUGAAGCCAAAAGAGAAUUCUUAUUAGGAUAGGCACAAUUCAUAUUUACAUGGUUAAGAGCACAAUAGAAAACGAGGGUGCAUUUGUCGUUGACAUCUUCAACGAGAGUGGAGAUUUUAUCAUGGGGAAGUGUCAUUUUGUGUAGUGCAAAGGCCCUGCUAUGCUACGUGCUCAUCUGUUAGAGUCUGCCUAUGUAGUAUUGGCUUGAAUGAAUCGUACCUAAAAUAAUAAAAACUCAACUAAGUAAUAAAGAAGAGUGAAAUUGUGUUGGGUUACGAUUCGUUUAAAUUACUUGAGCAAUUUUUUGAGCUUAUUUAAGAAACAAGCUAUACUGAAAGAAACAUUGCAUUGGGGAGUGGGGCACUUAUUCUGGAAUUUGAACGGGUGACCAAUGGGGGGAAGGGGGAGGGAUUACUCAAACGAGAAUUUUUACUGUUGAAAAAAUAAAAACAAAACAAAACAAAAGAAGUUGCAAAUUGCAACUUCUGUCGAACGGACAAGAAGGGCCCACUAGAUCCCGCCGUUGAAUCACCACCGUUCUGUUCAAACAGCCAAAACGAACUCAGCAUGCCUCCAAUCACCAAUCCGCUGACUUCUUCAACCGUUUCGAAAAUCGGCUGCAACAGACACAUCUUUUGCUCCAAAUUUACAACCUCGUUUCACCAAUCAAAAGACCAAAUGUUAACGUGCAAGUAUGGCAAUGAUGAAGCUCAAUGCAUCACGUGAUCGAGAAAGCGCCGAAUCCCCGCACCGUGCAAUUGUAGGAAAUAUCUAGAAAUUUCUCCAAAAGUGGGGCCAGCAUUUGACCUCUCAGCCACGUGACUUUGACGACCCUCACCGUCUGAUCCGAUCCGUUUUCUAAGCGCUUGAAUUUAUUUAUUUCUUCAACAUUUUUAUUUUCUCUCUCUAGAUUUUUAUUUUUUUCUCUCGAAGCGCAACCCAACACCCGGGCCCUCAUUUUUCCCUCUCUUUCUCUCUGCAACCAAACCCUAAAAAACGCCAAGGAAAUCUGAAAUCCAUUGCCAUUGGAUGAUGCGAGAGAGCGCCGGUCGCCGCCGUUUUAGCCCAGAGAAGCAGUGGUGGGCGAAUUAUCCGCUGCGGGCGUGAGCAUUGUGAAAAUCGUGUGCAAACCGAACAAACGAUUCCAAUGGCUGAAGAGAAAGGGAGCAAUUCUUGAAGAUUGUUAAAAAGGAAUUUGAAAAUUAAAAAGAUUGAGUUUUUUUCGUUGGGGGUGCUUAGCAUGUGUGAUUUAGUAGCCCGUACGGGUCGGCAUCAGCAACGCUACGAGGCCGGUUGUCGCCUUGUUGCCGGGUACUUACAUUUCUUCGAAUCUAUAUUUUAUAUAUUUGCAUAUGUGUAUGUGUGUUUAUUUGUUUGUGUAUGUUUGAUUUUGAUUGAUGUUGAUGUUGUUUGUUUAUGUGGUAUUUUGGUGGUGGAGGUGGACCAAUGUGUUUCCAUAGUUGGAGAAUUUUGCUUGUGAUAUGGUUUUCUGAUUUUGUAUAAUAUCUUUUGAUUGGUUGAUGCCUACCAUUUGGAUUUUUAAGUGGUGGGGAUUAAUGGGUUUCUUUUGUUUUAUUGUGAGUGUGCAUAUAUACAUGUUUAUUAUAUGGGGUAGGUGAGAAAUGCUGUUUUAUUAGGACAAGCAAUGACCUUGUGUUAUGUGAGAAUGAUCUAUAUUUUUUUCAUCAGAAAUCUUUGUCGAAUCACAUAUGAACGUUUUCUUCCAUUUGCAAAUCUUUUUGGCCUUCAUUAACUAUGUCAUUUACUGUUUGAGGAUUAGGGAAACUAGGAAUUUUUUAAAAUGGUGAUGCAGUAAAUAAGAUUAUUUCGGCGAUACGAUUUGGGUAAAUUGUCAUUGAGGCAAUGAUUAUGGGCAAGGACCCUACUUCUGAAGUACGAAAGUGGCCUUGUGAGGUGAAUUUCUUAUUACAUGAAGACAUGCUGCAAUCGGAUAAGUCAAGGAGUUGAGUUAAACAAAAAUUUGAAAGGAAAUGAUGUUGUUCCAUUAUUUAUAUGUCCAAAUUUCAUGCAGAGGGCCUAGGGAAGUCAAAGCUUCUAGCCACCUACUUGGGCACGGCUUUCUGUAUAGUAUAUUAUACCAGGAUCAGUAGUUUUUGUCAGCUGCUGCUAAUUUUUUUUAGACAAUGGUCCUGCCAUAUGUUCUUUAAGAGGCCGCUCUUUUAUUUUUGGGUGAUCUGUGCAAUUAGAUGAAAUAGGCUGUUUUAGUUUUCUCUGUGUUAAAAGGAUGGGCUGUCGAUCACACAUAUAAAGAGUGAGCUUGGUAGUAUGACGAUAAAUAAAUUGUUUGCCAGGGCCGAGAGAUCAUGCAGACAUUCAUAUAUAGAUCAGAUUCUCUCUCUCUCUCUCUCUUUUUUUUUUUGGUUUUUUUUUUUUGUAACCGAUCUUAAAUUAGUUUUGAUAUUAUUUGCUGGUACAUUUAUCUGUGUGACCAAUUAUUUUUUCUGUGAUGUGAAGAAGCUAACUCAGUUAACCUUUGACAGGUGUAUUCCAUUUAGAUACAAAAAUUCUGAUGAGACUGGUGAUGCCAAUUCUGAGAAGAUUAUUGAGGUGCUUAUGAUUAACUCACCUAGUGGACCAGGCCUUUUGUUCCCAAAGGUAUUUCUUGUUUUCUGUUGGCAUUUACAAUUGUUGGACUUGGUGAGAUCUUUCUUUCUGAACUUUAGUUUUAGGAAUAACUUAUUUUUAGAUAUAAUUUAUUUUUCUUCUGUCGUCUUACUAAUAGAUACAUGGUAAAAAUGAGUUUAAAGGUGUGAAAAAUGUCACUCUCAAAGUAAUCUAUGAUUGAGGGUUGGUGGAUAGCAACUUGAGGUUGAUAAGAUUGCUUUUCUGGCUAACAUUUAUAAGAGGUAAAGCUAUUGUCUUUUCUUGUAUCACCUUUAGAUACAUUUAAGUACCAAUAUAAUCACCCGGGGCUUUGAAAACUUAGAGCAGAAAAUAUCUGCCAUUUUCUAUUGGCUGUAAGUGUAUCCCAGUUACCUCAGUUAUCAACAUGUAGGACGCAUUCUCUUUUACCUGCUAUUUGGGUGGGUUAUUUUCAGAGGCUUCAUAGAAAUCGUCUGAUUAGACCUUCUAUUUUUCUGAUCAAGUAUGACAGUAGUUUGUUUUUGGAGAAAAAUGAAUUCGUUAAGAGACGUGGGCAAUAGUUCUAUUGCAUGAUUCAAUUAAUUAUUAGGCCCUUAGAUAUAUUUCCUCACUUUUGUUUUGACAUCUGUAAUUUUUAGCUGGCAACAGAACUAUGGUUAUGAUUUAUCAUUUGCCCAAGAUAUGCAAAUGUAGAUAUGGAUGCUCUUUGUUGUGAUGUUAUAGUGCCCUCUUUUAUAAUUGGAACUAGAUUAACACUUUUGGACUUUUGUUGUGAUUUUAAUUUCGUGAGAAGAAAUAUAGUCAACUGGUUCCGUAUAAUUCUGUGUUUAUUGUUGAGUUUACGAAAGAUUUAAUUGUUUAGGUGAUGUUAUGUUUGAAAUGUGAUGACUUCUUUGUGGACAUGCAAUUCGAAGUUGAGUUUACACUUGGUAAAAUAUUCAUGAUCUGCAUACCCAUAUAGUUAUACAAUCUCUUGUGUUUUCCUUUGUUGUUUACCCUUUAUGAUAUUCGAAGUUUGUGUGAAAAACUAGUGAUUUUUAACACUAGGGGUGGUAAUUUGGAUUUGAUUAAAUGAAAUGAGGAACUACUUCGGAAAGUGAAAAAUGACAGCACUUGGAUGUUUCAGUUUUGCAGCUUCUUACAAAUUGGGGCUUAUUUUAUGGUAUAUUCUUGCUUUAUUGAUUAUUAUUGUGUCCUGUCAUGCGUAUUGUAAGUUAGGUUGUGAUUGUUCAAAUGUGGAAUGUAUGUAGUGCCUGUGAAUUGGUCACAUGUUCUUGUUUACUGUUGAUUUGGGAGCUGUAAUAUAUAGUGUAUCGGAAAGUUGAAGGCGAUGUGAAUUUGAAAUAUUGGGAUGGUGUUGAAGGUGUACUUGAACAUAUGUUUACAUUAGGAAUGCUGGAGAUAUACUAAUCAAUUGAGACUUUAUGUCUUUAGUGUUAAGCACAAGUUAUAUAACUCAGUAUUUUUAAAAGUGGACUUAGGAGUGAUCUUUACAUUCUUGAGGUGAAGAAGAUUAUUCAUUUUUUUAAUGAAAACUUUACAUAUACUUUGCAAUAUCGAUAAUAUGUAGAUUUAUUGCUAAGGCUCCCACCAGUUUACAACAACUAUUAUGUGCUUCCUCCAGGUAGGAUAUAUGUAACUCUUUUAUUUAUGAAUAUGUUAUCCACUUGCAGGGAGGCUGGGAAAAUGAUGAAACCGUUGAGGAAGCUGCAGUAAGGGAGGCUGUUGAAGAAGCUGGAGUUCGAGGAGAGCUAAUGGUGAAAUACAUCUUCUUAACUUUUAUUUGUUCUAAGAUAUAUUCUGUGAAGGGGGUAGAAUAAAGUUGUAUUCUUAGCAUUGAAUAUUUGCAUGUGUUUUGAUACUUGUCUUUUACCAAAAAAAUUUAUAUUUGUUGUCCUGUCUUCCCAAUAGAUGGUUAAAGUAGAGCAACUGUUAAUCUUUUUGAAUAUCAGGAUUUCCUGGGCUUUUAUCAUUUUAAGAGUAAAACACACCAGGAUGAGUUCAGCCCGGAAGGUGUAUGUAGAGCUGCUAUGUUUGCUUUGUUUGUCAAGGAGGAGCUUGAGUCAUGGCCCGAACAGAGCACCCGAAAUAGAACUUGGCUGACUGUAGCAGAGGCCUUUGUCAGUUGCCGGCAUGCAUGGAUGAGAGAGGCCUUGCAGGAUGGCUUCUCAAAGUGGCAUGCAGAAAAGAUGAUUAGUGCAAGCAAUGAUGUAACGUUGAGUUGCUAGUUGGGGUGUGAGGCUGAACAAGAAGUCGUUUCGGGUGCAUGCUCAUAGACAUAAAUACAGGUGCUGGAAUUGGUUUUUUUGGGGGGCAUUUUUCAAUUUUUCAGUUGGUCAUCAAGUAACAACCUCUUAACAAUAUUAACUGUUCAAAAUUACCUAGUCACUGCCCCUUAAAUUUAUUCUUGUUUCCAGUUGAUCUCUCUGAUAUUUAAACUCAGAGGGUCAAGUUUCAGCUUCCCUGUAUAACAUUUUCCGUUGCAUAAACUUUUAAUUGCCCUAUUCUCUAAUGGUGCGUUAUUGUAAAGUUGGAAACAAAUUUGCAAAGAUCAUUCUUUACAAAGCUUUUGCAAAUUAAAGCGUUCGGUUGCAGGGUGGGAGUGGGUCUCAAAGUUUUGUAAGUACCUUUAUAAAGCUUUUCAGAUCUCAUAAGAUCCAACGGACAGAGAUAAAUUCGAACAAUAUGCACCAUAUAUUCAAACAAAAAUAUAUAAAAAAUCGCUAAAUUAUGCGGAGGAUAAUGUGAAUUUAUAGUACAUAAGUUUAUUUCUUCAUCUCAUGACAAGCGGAAAUGAUUGACAAUUACACUUGGGUUGCAAGCAGCAACUGCAAGAAGCAUCUCAUAACGUUCAAAUCUAGCAAUCACUUGCUCUUCCAAAGUCACCAAAGCUUCAAUAUAGUAUUAACCAACAUAAUAGGUUUUUGUAGAACAACAGAUAUCGAAUCCCAUCCUACCAAAAUUCUAAUUAUAAUGGAAAUUUGCAAAACGUGUACAACAACAGAUAUCGAAUCCCAUCCUACCAAGUUCAAUACAAAUAGAGAGUCAGCAACCCAGUAUUUGACAAUCAUUCUUGACGUCCAUUCCAUCUUGUUCACUAAGGGCAGUUUGAAAGCAGAGAGAACAUCAUCCUCAGAUCAACCCCGUCCUAUAAACUUUGCGACUUCGAUUCAUAUCGCCUUAUUCAAGCCACAAAAUACACAUACUACAGACACAAAAGUUGGUUUGUCAGACCAAAACCUGUUCAGGGAAAACAAAUAUCUCCCAAGACCAAAUAGGAGCUGUUUUUAUUUUUUGUUUUUUUCAAUAAUAGGGUUGGGGAAUCCAAACUUGGGAUCUAUUCCAACAUCGGUGAGAUAGAACAUUUCCUCCAAAAUUAUUAGGGGGAAGUGCGAUGUGUAUUGCUGUAGAUAAGACAACUUUAAACAUCAUAAAAAACUGUAAACACUGCAAAUGAAGCAUCACAUUCUCCAUAUCAUAAAUAAUGAGCUUACAUAUUUGUUUAUUCAUCAAACAUUGAUAAGCCUGUAACUACUGAUAAAUCACAGCAUGCAUACAAAGGACAGUUGAAAUAACAAGCUUUUCUCAUGACCUGCAGCACCGUUGUGCAGGCAUUUUAAGUUCUGUUUCAAUCAAAGUUAGAAGCAUUACCUGAAAACUAUCAUCCAAGUAAAGAAUAAACAAGUGCUUUGGAGACAGAAACAGGUUACUCAACCGCAAAUGAUUCGAGAGGAGAAGCAAUAAAGAAGAAAACUGAUCCCCAACAUACCACUCUCUUGAUCUCACAAAAUCUCCAGAAGUUUUCAAACAGAUUCAUUUGUCUCCACAGAAAACAAUUGCCAAAUGACUCCUGAGUAUCCCAUUAAAGCUGGACCUUUUGUCCGUAAAGGAACCCAAUCAUCAGUCGCAGUUGCUGAGUUUUCUUUUCUUUUUUUCAUAAGACAAGAAAUCCCAUACUUAUGGAAUCACAAUGACGUAAUGAUGCUUACCCAGGACCAACUGCUUGUGGGGAACAAUUAUUAACAGAGCAGGAAUAAAGGUCUGAAAACCAUUGCAAGAUACCAUUAAUAUAGCCUGUGCACACACAUACAAAUCAAGAAAGUGUGCGAAACUUAUAUUUCAUAUGCUCUCUCUGCCAUUGACUCAAAGAAAAGGUAGAGUUAUAGGAUUGGAAUAUCAUUAUGGUAGUGCACUCAAUCUGGGUUCAUCUCUUCGCAAGGCCACUAAGUAGAAAAAUAAACUGAAACAGCAAUAGAAUAGUAGACAAAAGUAGACAAAAGAAACAUAUGGGUUAGAGAACUCAUAUCGUCUAAUUUGAAAAGUACACAAAAUAAAUUGUUGUUUUUUCUCCUCUCCAGAAUAGUUAAAGCAAGAUAUGAGUGUAUUCUAUCAAAAGCAAUUUUCCAAGCAAGACAGUGCAGCAUCAAGGGGUCAAAACGUUGCAACAUCAUACGUCCUGGAUAUCCACUUUUCCUUGGUAUACACACAACAACUGAGGUACUUCACCCUGAUAACUGUCAACAAAUCUCUCCAAGAACUCCUUCUCCACAGGUCCAAACACAGAAUGUAAGCUCAGUUUUUCAGUAUUUAUCAAUCCUUUCGACAACAAUACUCUAACAACCGAACACCUAGGGAUGAUUCUCUUCUGCAAACUAUAAUUCAAAACAUACGGCGACUUGAGAAUUAUUUCUGACGACCAUCCCAUCUUGUUCACUAAAAGAUCCAUUGUUUGCAUUAUUUUCUUCUCUGACAGAGCAAUACACUCCGGGCGCCUCCUGAAAGCAGAGAGAACAUCAGCCUCCGACCAACCCCACCUGCUAUAAACUUCACAAUUUCGCUUCAAUAUCCGCUUAUAAUAUGAACGACACAUUAUGCUUAUUGCCAACACGGAAGUCGACUUUUCCAGGUUAAAACCCAUUUCCUUAACCUCUUUCACAACUUGGCGAAACUUUUCAGUAUCAUGUAUCAAAGCAUGCGUACAAUGAGCUAGCAACAGAGAAAUGCAUGAUUCAGGCAUACCUAAUUCUCUCAAAAUCGCGAUAUUUGGCACUACUUUCUUGGUGUGGGCUUGCAAGAAAAUCGACGAGUUGUACUUGAAAACAGAAACGAUAUUUUUCUCAGGAAGCAGACUCCUCAGGAAAUUAUAAGUGGGCACAAGCUGUUUCUCCAAGCUUCUUUGCAAAAGAUUUGGAUUCAGAACCAGCGUUUUUGCGAGGUCCUCCCUUGAAACUCCAAGAGAGCUGAAAAACUCAAGCUUUGGCAAAAGGGUUUGCUCAGGCCUGGCUAAAAGAAGUUGUGGGCGGGUUUUGCAAAACUUUGAGAUCUGGAUUAUAGAGAAUCCAUGGUUUCUCAGAAGACCCAAAACGGUGUCUGCAUUUUCUGGGGACUGCAACUUGAUCCACUUGGAUGUUGAAAUCGCAUCUUCUAGCGACAACCCACAUGAGGUUAUGAGGUAAUUGACGGUGAAAUUGUGUUGGUCUUCUGAGAUUUCUGAGGUGAACUGUCUGCAGAGUAUCCGAUUUUGAACAGAAAAAUGUGAGGGUUUUAGAUCUCUAGCAAUCAAUAUUUCAGCUCUGGAAGCAAAUGUAGAAGGAGAGAGUAAACAAACCAAUCUGAGGCUCUUCAACUUGGAGAGCGGUACCAUGGUAGAGGUCGAUGAUGAUUGUUAGGAGCGUAAUGGCUAGAGAGAAAAAGAGAGGAAAUAGAAAUUGGAAAUUGACAAUAUUCUCAUUCAUGGCAAGAGUCAACUCAGCGCAAAGUUAAAUACAAGGUAUGAUUCCUACACGUGUUCUCUCACAACACACCUUACGUCCUCCUACUGAAAGAUCUCCAACCGAUAUGUCAGAAGUGCCACAUAGACAUUUAAUGGCUAUAAAUAACAUCUCACAUCACUCCAACCGAUGUGUCAAAGCUGAUGUAGAAUGAAGACUGGAGGUUGAGAUGUUAUUUUUGACAUUCCAAAAGCAAGAUGUCAAAUGAAUAUUUUAUUUUUUUUCUUUUCUCUUUAAUUAAAAAUAAAUCAACACUAAAAUGUAAUAAAAUAAUAAUUUAAUUUGACAUAUUGCUCCCCCCUCUGUCCAAAAUCUUUUCAAGUUCCCACUGCAGUGUGCCAUCAGCAUGAAGGGGUGGAAGAAGCUGCGGUGAAGGAGUGACUGUAUUUCCUGAUAGAGAAAUUGAAUCCUAGCAGAUAUGGAAGAGAAUAUCAGAAAGUAUAUAAGAGAAGAGGAAAGGAAAAUAAGUCAGAGAAACGAUUUGAUGAAUUCCUCUGUAUUCUGCUGCUAUAUUUUUUGCACUAUCUGUCAUAGUGUAUUAGCUUACUCACACACACAAUGAAUUAACCGUUAGAGGAGAGAGAGAGUUAGACACACUUCUAAUUUCAAUUUCAGCCAUCCAUUACAUGUCAUUAGAUUAGGACACUUGUCCAUUGCCAAGCCCAAUGAGACUUAACCAACCGAUACAAUUCAAAUAUUUCUAACUCAGCCUAUGAGCUAAGGCCCAACCCACAAAACAAACUACCAAUCAGUUCACUAAUUUAUACACACAUUCCCCUUUAAAUUGUGGACUAAUUUCACACCAAGAAGCUCCCUAAGAUAAGUGAACUGCUCUCUUGCCAGCGCUUUGGUGAAGAUAUCAGCUACUUGCUUUUCUGUAGGACAGUAAACUAAAUCGAUCACUCCUUGCUAUAACGCCUCCUUGAUGUAGUGAUACCUUCGAUUGAUAUGCUUGGUUUUCUGAUGGAAUAUAGGAUUCUUAGUGAUAGCAAUAGCUGAAGUGUUGCCACAGUGUUGCAACAGUUUGCAUUUCACCAAAGUCUUCCAGCAUAAAUCUUAACCAAGUGGCUUGUGUAGUUGCUUCUGAUACACUAAUAUACUCUGCUUCAGCUAUGGAUAAAGCAACAAAUUGUUGUUUGACAGAUGCCCAAGAGAAAGCUCAACUGCCAAAUGUAAAGGCAUAUCCAGAUGUACUCUUCAUAUCCUCUUCUGAUCCAGACCAGUCACUAACACAAAAACCCACCAAAACAGAACCUUCUCCUUUCUUGUACUUCAAACCAAAAUCAAGAGUUCCUUGAAUAUAUCGCAGAACUCUCUUUGAUGUCCCAUAAUGCUUGUUUGUAGGACAAUGCAUAAACCUUGCCAACAAGCAUGCAGCAUACAUUAUGUCAGGCCUUGUCGCUGUGAGAUACAGCAAGCGUCCAACAAUUUUCCUGUAUUGAGCUUCAUCUGCAGCUCCACUAUCAUCGUCCUUCCUCAGUUUAUCAUUUGGUACCUGGGGAAUGCUCACAGGUUUACAGUCCUGGAACCCAAACCUUUUCAACAGAGUUGAGGCAUACUUUCUCUGAUGGAUGAAGAUACCAUCUUCAGUUUUCAAAACCCCCAUUCCUAGAAAAUGGUGUAAUAAACCCAAAUCUGUCAUUUCAUACUUAUGCACCAUAUCAGUCUUAAACUCCUGUAAUAACUCCUGAGAAUUUUCAGUAUAAACUAUAUCAUCAACAUAUAUAGACACAAUGAUCAAAUCUGAGUCUUUUCUGCACUUGGUAUAUAAUAUUGCUUCACUAAUACUUCUUUUCAAACCAUACUGCACAAGGUAGGAAUCUAUCUCUCCAUACCAGGCUUUAGGUGCCUGCUUCAAAUCAUACAAGGCCUUGUGCAAUUUGUACACUUUAUCCUCCUCUCCUUGCACAAUGAAUCUAUCGGGCUGAUCUACAUACACCUCCUCUUCAAGGACACCAUUUAAGAAGGCAGAUUUCACAUCCAACUGGUAUAGCUUCCAAUUGUUCUUUGCAGCUAGUGCAAUAAGAGUUCUUAUGGUGUCUAACCUUGCCAUAGGUGCAAAGGUUUCAUUAUAAUCUAUUCCUGGCUUUUGUGCAUAGCCUUUUGCAACUAGCCUCGCUUUAUUCUUUUGAACCGAGCCAUCUAAGUUCAACUUUGUUUUAUACACCCAUUUGACCCCAAUCACAUGCUUAUCAGAUGGUCUUCUUACCAACUCCCAUGUCUGAUUUUUCUCAAUCAUAUUCAUUUCGCUUUCCAUUGCCUUUUUCCAUGCCUCAUCCUGUGCAGCUUCAUCAAAACAUUCAGGCUCAACAAUACACAAAUGAUAUCUUUCAUAAAUCUUACUCAAGUUCCUGUACCUCAAUGGUGUGUCAUCAUAUUGAGAUGCAAGCUGUGAUCUGCUAGUUUCACCAUCUUCAGUAGCUAGAGGACUUUCAAUUUCAACUUGAGAACCAUCAACUAUGACUUGCUGUUGAGGUGCAGUCACUUCUUCUAUAGUUCUCAUAUGCAUGUCUGAAAUUUCAUCUGCAGGUAGUGGAAUGCAGACUUCUUUCACUUUGUGUUUCUCCCAGUCCCAUUAGCCAUUUUCAUCAAAAAUUACAUCCCUUGAGAGCAAGACCUUUUGAGUCGCUGGAUUCAAUAUUCUAUACAUACCCCUUCUCAUAAACACCAUAUCCAGUAAAAAUACCUAUGGCACUUUUGCUUCUAAUUUGUGCCUCAAAUUUCCUGGAAUAAGAGGAUAACACACUGAACCAAACACUUUCAAGUGUUUAAUCCCAGGUUUUCUUCUACUGAAUUUCUCAAAUGGUGUAAUAUUCUCCAAAGCUUUUGUAGGACUUCUGUUUAGCAGAUACACUGAUGUGUUCACUGCUUCACACCAGAUGUUGUAAGGAAGUUCCUUCUCAUGUCAUGCACUUUGCCAUCUCCACAACAGUCAUGCUUUUCCUUUCUGCAACUCCAUUCUGUUGUGGAGAGUAUGCAACGGUGAGCUGUCUUUCUAUCCCCAGAUCUUCACAAAACUUUGCAAAAUCAUUUGAGAUGAACUCUCCUCCCCUAUCUGUUCUCAACUUCUUUACAUGAUAUCCACAUUGAAGCUCUACCAUAGCUUUAAACUUCUUGAACACAUGGAAUGCCUCUUAUUUGUUUCUCAAAAAAUAGACCCAACACAUUCUUGAAUAAUCAUCUAUAAAGGUAAUAAAAUAUCUGUUUCCACUCAAACUUGGUGUUUGCAUAGGACCACACACAUCUGAAUGUAUUAAUUCUAGUGGCUCCUUUGCUCUCCACUUUGACUCUUUGGGAAAUGACUCUCUGUAAUUCUUCCCCAGUGCACAUCCUUGACACACGGUAUCACUAUUUUGGAUUUCAGGCAGCCUCAAUACCAUUUCUUGACUCUGUAAUAGCUUGAGACUUCAGAAGUUUAGAUGACCAAAUCUCUUGUGCCAUAUAUGUGCACACUCUAGCACAUUUGUUUUCAAUGCAAGCUCCUUGUUGAUGCUGAAGAUUAGAGGAAAACACCUAUUCCCUUUCUGUUUCACACUGACCACCAAGUUUCUUAAAGAUCUAUCAUCAAAUAUAUCCACCUUAGACUCUCCAAAUAGAAGAAAAUAACCAUGCUCUGUCAUCUGUCCUACACUUAGCAAAUUCUCUGCAAGACUAGGUACAAGCAUAACCUCCUUUAUAUACCUCUUACCCUUCAUUGUUUCAAUGAUCAGUGUCCCUUUUCUUGCCACUUGAACCAAAACUCCAUUGCCUACUUGAACCUUUGCUUUCACUCUUCUGUCAAUGUCUACAAGCAAGUCUUCCCUGGAUGUCAUAUGAUUGCUACAUCCACUAUCUAUGUACCAUUCAUCACUUAUCUUCUUUACUUCUCCAGAAUGAUUAGCAAAGAAUAAAUUUCUAGUUUCUUCAACCUGAUUAGCAAAGUUCACCUGCUGCACAGACUUGUUUGUAUGACAAUAUUUUGCAAUAUGCCCAAUUUUGCCACACUUGUGACACUUGACUUUGUUCUUAACCCAACACUCCCCCAUAGUGCAGUUUAUCACAAAAUUUGCAUUUAUUCCCAGUGUUGUGUGCCUCAUUCUUCACCGGGGGAUUAGGCUUAUUACUCCCAUAAGCCUUGUUGACAUUUUUAUGAGAUUUACUUAUUUGACCAUUGAACCAAGUUUAUUUUGAUCCAAUGUUGAAGCGAGCAAAUGCUUUCUCCAUGUUAUUGUCACCAUGCCUAUCAAGCCUCUGCUCAUAUCGCUUUAAGAUGGCAACCACAUCCUGAGCAUCAAUGGUGUCUAAAUCCUUAGUAUUUUCUAUCACAACUGCAAUACUAUCAUAGGAUUUAGGUAAGCUGAUUAACAGCUUCUGAACAAUUCUUUGAUUACUCAGAUCUUCACCAUAGCUCCUCAUUUGAUUAAUCAAAUCAAACAGCUUAGCAAUAUAUCCAGAAAGAGAUUCAUUAUCAUUCAUUUGAGUGUAUUCAAAAUCACGCCUAAGACCUUGAAGUUUCACAGAUCUUACUUGCUUAUCACCAACAAAUUCUUGUUUCAGAAUAUCCCACGCAGCCUUUGCAGUUUCUUGAGUUGCUAUUCUUGGAAAAAUUUGAUCUGAUAUAGCCCCUUGGAUAAUACCUAGAGCUCUAGCGUCCUUCACCAAGUUCUCACGCAGUAGCUUCCUCUCUGCCUCUGUGAGCUCCUCCGUCUCUUUCGUCGGAGUUUUGUACCCAUUCUCCAUAAGAUCCCACAGCUCGUGCGAACGGAAGAUGGUAUUCAUUUUGAUUUGCCAGAAUCAAAAUUUUCACCAUUAAAGAUUGGUGCCCUGAGUUCCCCUCCUCCAUAUCCAGCCAUGGAAGACCUGAUCGCUGUUACGACCUUGAAUCACUGCAAUGAGCUUUUGCUGUGAAUUCGAGCUCACCCUAAUAAACACGACGCCCAGAAAUUCAGACCCAACUAGACUCUGAUACCAUGUUAGAGAAAUUGAAUCCUAGCAGGUAUGGAAGAGAAUAUCAGAAAGUAUAUCAGAGAAGAGGAAAGGAAAAUGUCAGAGAAACGAUUUGAUGAAUUCAUCUGUAUUCUGCUACUGUAUUUUUUGCACUAUCUCUCAGAGCAUAUUAGCUCACUCACACACACAAUGAAUUAACCGUUGGAGGAGAGAGAGAGUUAGACACACUUCUAACUUCAAUCUCAGCCAUCCAUUACAUGUCAUUAGAUUAGGACACUUGUCCAUUGCCAAGCCCUAUGAGACUUAACCAAUCGAUACAAUUCAAAUAUUUCUAACUCCGCCUAUGAGCUGAGGCCCAACCCACAAAACAAACUACCAAUCAGUUCACUAAUUUAUACACUAACAUUUCCCACCUUCAGUUUCAGUAGAGAAACAUGAAAAACGUUGUGGAUGCGAGUGUUUGGCUGGCAAAUCUAAGGGAUAAACUACGGGACCACUACGUGGGGAAAGCUUCGAAUGAUGAGUGUGACUGAUGGUAGUUUGUCGAUACAACUGAAGACGGAGGUAGACCUAGUCCCCCACGUGGAAUUCGCGGUCAGUACGAUGUCGAUCAGCAAAGAAUUUCAUCCGUUCUUUUGCGACUUGCAAAUUUUGACGCAAUUGUUGGAUAAGGGAGUCACGGUCUCGUAAUGCCAAGUCCACUGCUUGAACCACGGUCAUAUCGGGAGUAUAAUAUUCAAUUGAAGCGGUGAUUGGCCAUACAACGCCUGAUAUGGAGACGUUUUAAUGGAAGAGUGGUAGGUGGAGUUGUACCACCACUCUGCUCACGGAAGCCAUUAUACCCAGGUGUGUGGUUUGUCCCACACAUUGUUCUCAGGUAGUGUUCUAGUGAUUUAUUGAGAUUCUCAGUCUGGCCGUUAGUUUAGGGGUGGUACGCAGAGCUGUGUCACAGCUUGGUUCCUUGGGCAGAGAAGAAGGCCUUCCAGAACUGACCAAUAAACACCGGGUCUCGAUCACUUACGAUAGAAUGAGGCAUCCCAUGUAGGCACAAAACUUCUCGAAUGAAAACUUGAGAAAUCUAACUAGCGGUAUAAGGAUGCUUCACUGGAAUGAAGUGGCCAUAUUUUGACAAACGAUCCACAACUACAAGAAUACAAUUUUUACCCUGAACUGAUGGAAUUCCUUUUAUGAAGUCUAUACCGAUGUCUUGCCAGGUACCUUGAAGAUGGGCAAUGGAUGAAGCAGCCCUUGGGGAUGAAGAGCUUUAUAUUUUUGUCGUUGGCAUAAUGACAACUUGCCACAAAGUGUUUCACCUGUUUUUUCAAGCCUAACCAUCCUUGUAAUGUGCUCAUAUGUUCGUAACUAUCCAAAGUGGCUAGUUGCUGGAGAGUUGUGGAACUCCUCCACAAUUUGAUCUUUCCACUUUGAAGUAGGGGGAACAUAUAUUUUGUUUUGUAAAAGAAGCAAUUGUUCUGCCAAGAAAAAUGUGGUUUAGUAGGAGCUUGGGCUUGCAAAGCCUGCAUAAUGUUCAUAGCUUGUGUCGAUGAGACAAGCGGCUUUUAUUUGUGACACACUAUCAAAAAAUGGCCAACAAUUCUGGUUUGCUAGACAAGGCAUCCGGCCCUGCAUUUUGGGUACCAAAACAAUAAUCAAUCUCAUAAUCAUACCCCAGAAAUUUCAAUAACCACUUUUCUUGUGUUGGAGAGGUGAUUUGUUGCUCCAAAAAAUACUUUAUGGUCUGAUGAUUCGUCGAGAUCUUGAAAUGGCAGCCGAUGAGGUAUGGUCUCGAGUGUUGAAUUGCAAAUACAACUGACAUUAUCUCCUUGUCAUACAUAGAUAGGGUUUUGUGCUUAUCUGAGAGAGCUUUACUCAUAUAAGCGAUUGGAUGUUUGUCCUUGUAUAGAAUGGCUCCAAUUCCCAUAUUAGAUGCAUCAUACGCAACCACGAAUAACUUGGAAAAAUCCGGCAGGGCUAGUACAUGGGUAGUCAUUAGAGCAUCCUUGAGGUUCAGAAAUGCUGACUCGGCUUCUGUCGUUCAUGCAAAAUUAUCUUUUUCCAGCAUAUGAGUUAGUGGCCUGGCAAUCGGGCCAAAACCUUGUACAAACUUCCUAUAGUAUAUGGCUAGUCCCAAAAAUCCUCUCAACCCCUUAAUGGUAGUGGGUUUAGGCCACUCCUCUAUGCAUUGCACUUCGAUUGGAUCCACUACCACUCCAGCUGCAGAUAUGACAUGUUCCGAAUAUGCCAUUGAUUUUUGAGUAAAUAGACAUUUUGAGAACUUCACCUUCAGCUGAUGAGCUCUCAAUACCUCGAAAACAUGAGCCAAGUGUGUAAUAUGCUCAGAUAAAGUUUUGCUAUAAACUAAUAUGUCAUCGAAGAAAACCAAGACAUAUUUACGUAAAAAGGAACGAAAAAUUGAGCUUUAGCUAAUUGUGGCUGUAUCAGUCUUACUCCUCCUACAUUCAUUCCUACAGUCAAUAAUGACAGCCUUCUAUUGAAUUCCUUGAGUUUUUCUUUAAAGUUCCAACCAAUCAACCCCAGGGUUUCUAACCACUCAGCCUCCAGUACCAAAUGGCACCCUGCAACAGCCAAUAAUCUAUAAUUAUUGUGAAACUUGAACAUUUCUAAAUCAUCUGCAAUAUCAUAAACCACGCCUUUAGUAUCGUAGGUAUUGCCAGUAGCGACUACUACCUUCUCUGUAUCUUUGGGAUUGAUAACUUUUCCUAACCUUUGAGCCACGCUUAGGUUUAGGAAAUUCUGGUUUGCCCCUGAAUCAAUAAACACAUGGAUUGGCAUCCUGUCAAUGAAUCCCUGCAGACACAUAGCUCUUCCUCUGAUUCUUUUUUUUGCUGCAAUAGAAUGGAUAGGUACCUCAUCCCCCUCUUCACCAGUUUCUAAGUUUUGUCCUAGUUCCCCCCCUUGUCAGAUCAGUCUCCUUAUUCCUCACUCAUUCUAAUUCAAUCAUUAAAAUGUGGGGGGACUUGCAAUGGUGACCAGGGGUGUAGGGAUCGUCACAGUGGAGACACAAUCCCCUUUGCCGCCUUUCAAGUAGCUCUAAUUGAGUUGUAAAGUGCACUGGAGUAUGAGAAUGGUUUGUCGUCGUUUUGAUGUUUGAGGGCACUGAAGUAAACCCAGGUUUUGGGCGAGGUGCUGUUGUGGGUUGUUUACACCAUAAUGAACCGAGCAGACCCAGCAUCAAGCGACUAGCACCAAGGCAGCCACGCCUUCUCCCAUGCCGAAGGAAGACACACUUCCGAGGUGCCAGACACCUGCCGAAGCUCUCAGCUGCCAAACCUAAUCUCCAGGACACGUGUCAUCACCACAACGGCUUGCACAAAGUCCCACAUUGGAACUUUGUGCAAAGCUCCCACUUUCACUUCCCUUAUAAAUAGGGAACAGUACCCAGGUAAANNNNNNNNNNNNNNNNNNNNNNNNNNNNNNNNNNNNNNNNNNNNNNNNNNNNNNNNNNNNNNNNNNNNNNNNNNNNNNNNNNNNNNNNNNNNNNNNNNNNUCCACUAACUGCUCGUCUGUCUAGCCCACAGCUUUACACAAAGUUUAAUGAAUUGGGCUAUGUAAUCUACCACUGAGCUUAAUUGUUUGAUUUGUGAUAGAGCCAUGUUGAUAGCCUCACCCGGUCCCAAAUUGUUGCAACAUCAUCUCUGAAAAUUUACCCCACGAGUCUCGUGGGUAUCGUGCCUCGAACCAUUUCAUCCAUAGAGCGGCAUCACCACCUAAAUGCAUCAUUGCUAUUGUCACCCACUUAGGUUAUUCGACCUCAUGAUAUGCCAGGAACCUCUCUGCUAUAACCAACCAUCCAUAUGGAUCCUCCCCAUAGAAGCGCGAUAAGCCGAGCUUCAUGGGUUUAAUUGAACUACCUGAACUAGUGACAAACAUGGGGUUGGGUAUUGGGUUAUGAAUCGUUAGUCCUGUGGUGAACUGAGGAACUCUGAUUUUGAGCGUUCGUUUUGGCUUGUGGAUGCAAGAGAGAUGUUAGCAAGGGCAAUUGAACAUAGCUGGGACUUGGAACUGUGGUUUGCAGGGAAUUAUGGUACGGUGAGGGCGAACGCCAGACGGCCCAUGACCAUGGAAACCGUCAUAUGGUUUGCAGCUCUAGGAUUCGCAUAGCCCAGAAUGGGAUUCGCACUAGUUGUCCCCCAUGAUAUUGGUGUGUCAUUAGAGGCAACGUGUUGGUCGGCGUCGUCAUCAUCACCGUCGUACGCUCCAUCCCUGAAAGCGUCACGCUCUUGCUCUUCAAAGCCCUAAAUUCCUCCCGCACCGAUUGUUGGAAGGAAGCUUUUGCAAAGAGACAUGUGGCAAAAAUAUCAGGUUAUUGGCAAAAAUAGAAACGAUCCUAUUGACUAAGAGACAUGUGGAUUGGACCAUAACCCAGCUAAAGAGCCCAUGAUGGUAUUGUACCCAACAAUGAUCAAUUUGGAAAAUUGAAAGGGAGCUUCUAUAGUGAGUGGGAAGUUAUAAGGGGUGUUUUUGAGGGGUAUGUAAGAGCCGUUGGAUUUCAUCCAACGGUGAGUUUUUAAAAGAGGGUGCAUGUAGAAUCGGGUUGAAAUCUAACCCGUUAGAAAUCCAACUUCAGUUGUUCCCCUCUUUCCCUCUCUGUGAAAAACUGAAGCCUUUCUGUUUGAAUGUAAAGCAAACCCACAAUUAGAAGGAUCCAAAUCUCCCAAACCUUAUAGUCACUCGACUGUCAUUAGCUCGUUGGGAGGCCUGCGAUCUAUAGUAUCCUGGGUAUUACGAAGAAUGGCUCUUACCUAGCUGUUGCCCUGUUUUGAUUCUAUGGCUCAAGUGAAAACCCCUUCUCUUUUCAUUCAGCUGACAAGAUUCCAGAUGAAAGCAAAGUAGCUUAUCUGUUUUUGUAGCUAGAAGCCGCAGCAGCAGUUGUUCCUCGAUUUUGGUAGAGAUGGAGUCUCAAAUACCAAAGAGUCUUCUCUAAUGUCCACCACAGUCUUUCAAGCUGACUGACUUCAGAGCUCCCGAUUGAUUUUGAGAGGUAAGUUCACUUGCUGGAUUGAUUUUAUUGGGUUAGGUUUAUUUUUUGUGAGGGUGGGAAAUUCGUCAUUUGUGGCAUCAAUAAUGUGUCAUUUUCUUAUGAAUAUUCAAUAUACUUAGUUCAUUGUUGUUGGUCGGGGUGGAAAAUUAUGAAAUGUAGGUAAAAGAACCUAAACUUAGGCUUAAUGACGUUAGGAGUAAGCAGUUGGAGAGGAUAUUGGGUGAAGUUCUGUAAUUGGUGGUUUGAAUUACAUUUGUGUUCUUAGUUGAACAUGUUGGUUCUAAUGUUAUUUUGACCAGAUUAUUUCCCAAGAGAUGACGUAACUUGUAUGAAAUUUUGCUUGUGUUUUGUGUAAUCGGAAGUUAGGCUAUGCGUAUUUUGUGUCAAUUUGGGCAAUGUUUUGUGUAAGUGGAAUGCAUUGAUAUGUUGUGAUGCAGUAAUGACUGAUUAAUGAAUGAAUAAUUGCUAUGCAGUAAUAUAGAAGUGGAUCAAUAAUAUACGUAGAUAAAAUGUCUGGGGGCUCAGAGAGUGAUGAAUGUGCAACAGCUAAUGGGAGGGUUUAUAUUCCUGAAGUAAGAAAUGAGGAAACACCAACAGUUGGGAUGAAGUUUGACUCGCUUGACCUCGUUUACAAUUUCUAUAAUAGAUAUGCAUUCUUGGCUGGUUUUGGUAUUCGACUUCAUUCUAGCUUUUGGGGGAAAAACAAGAAAGAGAUUUUGAGGAAAGAAUUUGUAUGUUGCAAACAAGGUGCAUACAGGAAGGAUGAAACUCGGGAGAGAAAAAGACAACGGGGAAUAAGUAGAUGCAAUUGCAAAGCAAAGAUUGUGGUUGUGAAGACAAAUGGGAGCAAGAAGUAUACCAUUUCUCUUUUUGCAGAGGGACACAAUCAUAAGAUGACACCCUCAGAAAGAAUGCAUUUAUUGAGAUCACACCGUCAUAUUUCAGAUUCUACAAAAGUACUCACAAAACAAUUGGGUUCAGUUAAUAUUCCCAUUCAUCAGAAGGUAAGUAUAUUCGAGGUGCAAUCCGGAGGAAUGGAUAAAAUCGGUUUUAUCAAAAAAGAUAUCUACAAUCUUGAAUGUAGUGUGAAUGGGAAGCUGAGGAACCACGAUGUUGAACUAGUGACCGAGUAUUUUAUGGCUGAACAGAAAAAAAAUGAGGCUUUUUAUUUCAAGAUUGAGGGAGAUGGGCAUGACAGGUUUAGUCGAUGUUUUUGGGCAGAUGCAACUUCUAGACGGGCGUAUGGGUUUUAUGGAGAUGUUGUUGUAUUCGAUACCACAUUCAACACGAAUCGAUACGACUUGACAUUUGCACCAAUGUUGGGAGUUAAUAACCAUGGUCAGACAAUUGUCUUAGCAUGCGCAUUUUUGAGCAAGGAAACGACUGAGUCGUUUGUUUGGAUGUUUGAGGAGUUUAAGAAAGCCAUGCCAGGUGGGGAACCUAAAACGAUCAUUACAGAUCAAGAUGCGGUAAUGGCCAUAGCGAUUUCAAUAGCCUUCCCGACUACAUUUCAUCGACUUUGCAUAUGGCACAUCACAUCAAAGUUCUCUGUUAAGUUACCACAUUCUGCUUAUAAGGAGUAUUGGCGUGAAUUUCAGAAAGCCAUAUGGGAUACUGACAAUAAGGAUGAGUUUGAUGCAAAAUGGAAUAUUGUGGUUACAAAGGCUGGUUUGACUGACCAUCCAUGGCUAAGUUCAAUGUUUGAUUUAAGGAAAUCUUGGGUUUCAGCCUACGCACGACAAUUUUUUGCCGCUGGAAUGUCAAGCAGCCAAAGAGCAGAAGGUUCUCAUGGUUUUUUCAAGCAAUACAUAUCAAGGAGAAAUUCGUUGAUGGAUUUCAUAAUACGAUUUGAGAGGGCACUUUCUCAUCAACGUGAAAAAGAGUUAGUUGCUGAUCACGUAGAUGCAUUUGAAGUGGCUCAAUGUCUUCUACCGAUGCCAAUGAACAAACAAAUGGCUACCUUGUACACAAGGACAAUGUUUCAAAAGUUUGAGCAAGAACUAAUACAAAGUACAGCAUGUUUCCUAGAGCUCAAAACAGAGGAUGCUUGUAAAGUUGUGUUCAACGUGAGCGAAAGGAAAAAUUGGGAAACAAGAGUGGCAGAAGUCGAAUAUGUCAAAGAUUCUGACCACGCAUCGUGUAGCUGCAAAAGAUUUGAAUUUGUUGGAAUUAUUUGCAAGCACAUCCUAGCAUUGUUCAGAAGGGACCAGAUUGAAUAUAUGCCCGAUAAAUAUAUUUUGAAGAGGUGGAAGAAAACUGCGAAAUCUGGAUUGGUGUCAGAUGCAAAUGGCAAUGAAAUUAAAGACUGUGCAGAUCCUGGCCUUCUAAUAAAGCGGAGUACAAUGUCUCGACUUGCUUCAGAUGUGGUUGAGGAUGCAUUAAUGAGUGAAGAAGGAUGUGAGCUACUGUCAGAGACUCUGAAAAGUUUGCAGGUGAAGUUGAAGUUGCUGAAGGAUGGACCAAGUAAUAACGAAGUUGGAGGGUCCAGCUCUCAAACACAAUAUAUGAAAGACCCUAAGAGAGUGAGGUGCAAAGGAAGGUCGAAAGGAGUAACGGGAGCAAAGGAAAAGGCAAUGAAGCUGUCAGGAGUGUGGACACAUUGGUCAUGAUAGAAGACAAUGCCCAGCCUUGAACACACCGUAAGAUGCUAACACUAUUUGUAAUAACAUCUAAAAUAUGAAAAGGUAAAAUUUUUAUGUGCUUGUGUUUGAUGUUUAUGCAGGACAUCACCGUCGAACAAUGACGAAUCAACUCCAAUACAUCGUAGUGGCCCAUUAUUCGACGAUUUUGACAGGAUGCACGGACCAACUGAAUGAUUUAUAUUUGUAUUAGACGAAAUGUGAUUGUUAUGAAGAUUAAUGAUCAAGUGAAGUUUUAUAGAUUCAGUUUUUGAAUGUUAUUGUGUUUUUGUUCAUGUCCACCGAUGAGCUCUUACUAUGUCCACUGGUAAUUGAAAUGAAAAUUUGCUUGGUUUCAUUCUUCCAUGAAAUUUGGAGACAUGUUAAUUUUACGUCUUCUCCCUAUUUAUAAAUUUUCAUAGACAAUUGAUCAAGUAUGAAAUUUGUAGUUAUGUGAAGAAGCAAUGACUUUUACCAUGUAAAAUGGGCAGAUUAUAACACAUGAUGACAGAGAUUCAUUUUUCAAAUCCUCAUAUAUGAAGCAAAUGAAACUGAUAUUUGUGUUAUUUUAAGUUAGAUAAUGACAUUAAGGGAGUAUAUGUGCAAUACCACGGUCACCCUCAACCAACUGAACAGCGGUAGCCGCAAUCACUUAGUCGUAUCGGUCGGCUUCUUCCGAGCAGCUUUGACGUGCUUAUGCUCAUUCAUGUCACCCCCAUCGUCUAGUAUCUCUCUCACAGCAUCAGGGGACACAUAGUUCCAAUCAUAACUUGUAUGAGUAGUUGCCGCAAAUGCUCGGAAUUUGUCGAAUCCUUCGUUGAAUGCCAACUCCAGUUCAGUAUGGUGCUUUUCGCAUCGCAUAUGGUUCAUCAAACAACCUUUGAUUUCAUCAUUCAUUACUGUAUCCAACUCCUCAGCUUUCAGCUUCCUGCUAUGACUCAGCUUCAAGUACUUGUUCUUUUGGGAUAACGCUUUGUUCACCCUAAUGUUAAGAUCAGCCAAAAUUGCCUCGUCUUCAACACAUUUCUCGUGCCAUGAAUUGAUCAGUCUGGAAUUAUAAUCCAGCUUGCCACUGACUGCAUGUAUUGCCUGUAAUGGAUCAUCGGAGUCCCCCUCACUCCCAAAUGAUGUUGAAAAAGGAAGGGGUCGGCGAGUACAAUGUGGAAAUAGAACCUGCCACUCCAAUUUGUCAUCUUCGAUUGUGUUGUUGGCGCCUGAAGAGGUUGACAUGCUUGAAUAAUCCUCUUUGUUUUGGGAGGAUGAGGAUUGCAUAUGCAAUUUCGUUUGAGAAAGGGAACAUAGGUUUAUAGACCAACAUACCAAAGCUUGUGUGUAGUCAACAUAUGUACUUUUUGGCGGGAAUUUUUUAAAAUUAGGUGUCAGGUUUUUCUUUUCAAGCAUGUCAACCUCACACUCUCCUGACACCACUGAUAGUGGUUGAAACAAACUCAAUGGAAGUGACAUCUACUUAGUUAACUCAACCAAACUAGUUAGGAUUCAACUUAGAUUGUAUCAGACCACAAAUUAAUUUAUACAUUCUCAACCAAAUAUUUUUUGGCGGGAACCCUUUUCUUGGUAUUACUAUCACCCCUUUCAUAUAAAUUCUCGUUCCACACAAAACUCACUCCUCCACCGAAUCUGUCUCCAUCUACUGAUACUCUCUCAAGCAAACAAACUCAUUCCCCCCAAAGAAUGAGCAUAAGCACAACCAAGUUUGAUGUGAGCAUAAUAAACACCCCUCCAAACAAAGACCGGCUUCGACACGCAAGUGAGUCACCAGACAAGCAAUGUCACAUUCCUAGACAGAAUGACCAUUUUGUUGGAAGUUUUGAGUCUGAAAGAGUUGUUGCUUUUUGGAAGGAGAGGCAUCUUCAACUUGGUGAUGAAAUCCAAAGGGCAAGGGCACGUUUGGAAUUUGUGGAAGGCCAAAUUGAAGAUGACAAAAGGCAGGCCAAUCUGGAUAGGGCGAAGUUGCAGCGCAUGAAGCGUAGACACAAACGACUUCGGAGUGUAGCUCUUCAAAAAUACAAGAACUCAUCUAAUGCAGUGGAGUCAAAGAAGCGUGUGAUGCAAGCUGGAUUCGACUACUUCCGAUCCUAUGCAAAACUCGUCGUACCCGGGUUUGAUUGGUCAUCUAUUACCGUUUCCGACGUCACCAAAUAUACUCAGCAAGGGAAGUAACCAUUUUGGUUCUCGUGUUUGAGCAGAGGCAAAUAAGUGGAAUUGGAAUUUUCGUUACACUCUGCUUCAAAGCUAUUUUGAUGCUAACUACUAUGGAAGAUUUAAACCUUAAUAUUUUGAUGUCUUUAAUUACGAAAACAGAAGAUGCAAAGAGACCAUCUACUUCAGUCAUAUGUUGCUGCCAUGUCCAUUUGUUUUUGAUCACUUAUCAGAUUUGGACAUGGUUGCAUCAUAUGCAAUGUUGCCUUUAUUUAGUAUAUGUUAGGACAAGGUUUAUGGAAAAGCUUUUGUGAGUGCGUUUGUGACAAGGUUAUGGAAUUAUUAUGUACACUUUAUAUAUUAUUUUUUGUACUGGUUCAUUUCCUACUACUUCUUGCUUUCUUUAUAUUUUAUGUUUGUGGAAUCCCUCUCAAAGUUAACAUAUACUGUGAAAAAAAUAUUAUGCAACUGAUUAUAUAAUCACUCAUAUAGACUAGGACAAAUAUUCACUAAGGGUUUUAAAAUUGCUUCACUUGUGUGAGGUUAUUGAGAAAAAGUAUGGCAUUAUUUAUGUGAUUGGACAUGAUUGAAAAUGUAUUACUGAUUCCCAAUGCGGCGUCAUAUGGACAACUUAUUGAAUACCUGUGACGUGUUAAUAACUCUAGGUGCAGUUGCAUGUGGACAACUUAUUGAAUACCUCUGACGUGUUGAAAACUCUAGGUGCAGUUGCAUGUGGACAACUUAUUGAAUACGAACUGACGGCUUCAAAGCUCUAGGCGUAGUUGCAAUGAUGGCUUCAAAGCAUGUGCAAUUAUUAUUUAUGUACAUUAUUAUAACAAAACAUAUUAUUGUAUAUAGUGAAACUACAUAUUGUAUUAUUAGAAAUUAUAUUUCGAAUAUUAUCCGAAAUAUACGUGUUAACGUGAAUUUGGGUUAAGAGGAAAGUGAGUUAUGUACAAAUAAUUUUCAUUUUCUCAUUUUCCGGGCAUUUUUUGGAUUUUCGUAGAAUUUAUUACCUAUGUCCACAGAUUGUUGCACUAAAAAAGCCAAAAUAAUAGCAAGAGGACACCUGGCGCGAUCUCAGCCCGUCACUUUUCACUACUUGCACAAGUGUACGUCAGUCAACAUGGCCACACCCUCCCAUUUUACCCUAAAUUAUUAUUUUAUUACCUUUUUUUCUUGGAAAAUUCAUAACUAAAUACAGAAAAAUUCAAAAUAUUAUCCGAAAAUUGCUACGAACUCAUUGACACUCCAUCUCCGUUGCUGAAUUCUCCGAUUCAUUGUUACGCAUUUGUAAAAUUAAUUCCCAACAUUAACGGGAGAUGCUUGUUGAAGUAGGUUAUUCAAGUUGAAGUUAACAAACAUCAAUACGUAGGGUUAAGAGAAAACUGAGUUAUGUAACACAAUUUGGAUUAUUUCAUUGCGAGACGAAUGAUUUAUAGGUUCUCCUAGUUUUAUGACGUCACAAGUAGGCCGGAGUAAUUUUGGGGGCAUUUUUAGGAUUUUUCUACUAUUUUUUACCUAGUUUCAAAGAUUUUUGAACAAAAGAAUCCAAAAUGUAAAAGAAGAUGACACCUGGCGCGAUCUCAGCCCGUCACUUUUCACUACUUGCACAAGUGUACGUCAGUCAACAUGGCCACAUCCUCCCAUUUUACCCUAAAUUAUUAUUUUAUUACCUUUUUUUCUUGGAAAAUUCAUAACUAAAUACAGAAAAAUUCAAAAUUAAUUCCGAAAAUUGCUACGAACUCAUUGACACUCCAUCUCCGUUGCUGAAUUCUCCGAUUCAUUGUUACGCAUUUGUAAAAUUAAUUCCCAACAUUAACGGGAGAUGCUUGUUGAAGUAGGUUAUUCAAGUUGAAGUUAACAAACAUCAAUACUUAGGGUUAAGAGGAAAGUGAGUUAUGUAACACAAUUUUGGAUUAUUUCAUUGCGAGACGAAUGAUUUAUAGGUUCUCCUAGUUUAAGGACGUCAAAAGGAGGCCGGAGUAAUUUUGGGGCCAUUUUUACGAUUUUUCUACUAUUUAUUACCUAGUUUCAAAGAUUUUUGAACAAAAGAAUCCAAAAUUAACAAGAAUAUGACACCUGGCGCGAUCUGAGCCCGUCACUUUUGACUACUUGCACAAGUGUACGUUACCAAACAUGGCCACAUCCUCCCAUUUUACCCUAAAUUAUUAUUUUAUUACCUUUUUUCUUGAAAAAUUCAUAACUAAAUACACAAAAAUUAGAAAAACGAUCCGAAAAUUUCUACGAACUUAUUGCGAUUUCAUCUUCCUACUGCAUUCCCUGUUUAAUGGUUAUGCUACAUUAGUAUUUUAUUAUUAUUUAUCCACAAUUAUUAUAAUUAUUAUGAUAUUACUUUUUAGGCUGUCCAUUUGUUAAUUAUAUUUAGUCCAACUUGUUGAAAACAAUUUUAUUUUCCGUGCGAAUAGGCCAUUUGUAGUGCUCAUCGGUUUCUCUGUUCUUCAAUUUGUUAAUUUUUUUAUUUUUUAGGUUGAAGGGAUGUUUUGAAACAUAAUAUGGAAAUAUACAAGUCAUCCAUUGUACUCCUUCCACACAAAAAAAUAGUCUACGUCAUUCACUGUUCAACACCCUAGGUUAAGACACGUGUAACCAAAUCCUUUCGGAUAUGCUAAGUGGGAAAAUGUCAUUCCCAAGCACUGGUGAAAAGACACCUAUUUACUCCAUGCAUGACUUUUCGUUUACCAAAUAUGAUGUAAAAUAUCUGUGUCAGUAAAAUGUCAUUCCUAGCCGUCUAUGAUGUAAGUAAUCAUUCCGCUAUAUAAUAAAUAUUAUACAUUUAUAUAUAAAACGGUUUAUGACAAAAUACCAACAUUUGAACAACAUUUAAACUGAGAUAGGUAUAACGUAGCCAGCCAACCUAGAAGUGAAGAGAAGCAAGUCCACAAUGCAUCAAAACCGUAAAUUUGUACUAAAACUAAUGCAAAAAUACGUGAUUCCCUCACACAACAUACUCACGCAGGAUUUUGCACCAAAAAAUACUCUCACGGUGCCAUUUGCAUCGGUUGCAACAAGUCCACAACGCAGGAUUUAUCUUGUCUUCACUAGGCCAGCCUGGAAUAACAAAAUACCAUUCAUUGUUGUUACAAGCGCUGCACCGAUUGAACUUAAUCUUCCCAUAGUCAAACAUAUCUACGAUAUGUCUUGCAACAAAUGCUCCGCGACAUCUUCCUGUCAAAGCAUCCCUGGUUCCUUUCAUAUCAAUGUUGUUACGUUGAUUCAAAGAACACAAGAAUUGUAAUGCAUCCUCUUUUGACUGACCAAUUCCGGACAUACCAAGUAGUCCAACUACAUAUGCCGCUUCCAUAUGGCCUGCCGUGGCUGCAAUGCGCAUCCCAUACAACGCUUCCACCUUACCGUGCCUGAAAAAACCUUGGAAUGCUUCUCUAAAUAUGGACUCAGGGUUAUCGCAAGCCCUGCAUUGUUGCAAGAAAUGCUGGACCGCAGGUCUGGCACGGUACCAGAUAGGAUCGUAUGGGUACUUUGCCAUUGAAAUGGUGUUCCACACUUGUGGACUGUUUGCCAAAGUUCGGAACAAUCGGCACACAGAUGCCAUACGGAAGAGAUCUUCCGAUGAUUCUUUUGCCACGUAUAACAUGACUUGAAACCAAGCGGACUCCGGGAUGAAAGCUUCGGGCAUAUCGAAAUGGACAUGCUUCCUUCUCUUUCCUCCGACUGUAGUGAAGUGUUUCGAAUUCAUUGAAAAGUUUUUGGAAUGGAACGAUUUGAGGAGUGGCAGAGGGGAUAAAUGAUAAUAUUUGGGGUACACGUUUUGUUUUAGCCUCUGUUUAUAGUGUUUUGAAAAGGUGUUUCCAGUUGGGGUUUUUCCAAGUUGACCAUUUUGAAAGAAACUGAACCCCAGUGAAUUAAAACUUAAGACAAAAGAAGGGAAAACGUCAUAACGGUGCAUACAGAGUCAGACAGUCAAAAAGUUAAUUAAAUGGCUAUUUGCAUAGCCAUUUUUGGGUUUAUCCCACUAUCAAAUUCAUUGAUACAAAUGUGAUGGAUUACUGACUAGUGACAGAAGGUCCCAUCAUAUACUUUUUCAUUUUCCCACACCCAACUACCCCUAGUAAUGUUAUUAAAAUGGAACCAAUAAUGACGGAUUCUUAUCCAACUAGUUGCCUUAAUGAAAUAUAAAUAAAUUAAUAAAAUUGAAGCAGUGUCCCGUCAUUAUUCAGAAAAUAUAUUGGGUAGUGAAGUAGUUUAUAUUGCUUUUCGGGCUAAAAGAUGUCACAAUGCUGACGGUACAGGUGUCGACAUCGUGACCAACCCACCAAAUGAUCCCAAAAAAAUUAAAUAUAACUCGAUUUGGGCAGAGAUGAGAGAGAGCUGAGUGACAAGUUUAGGGUUAUGAGUGAAGGGGUAUGAAUGACAACUAUGAGUGAGAAGGUAUGAGUCCGAAGAGGUUUCAGUGAGAAGAUCUGAGUGAGAAGAGGUACAAUUGAGAAGAUUCAACAUGUCUUCGUCUUCAUCUCCCGCUCAAACAAAGAGGUGUCAGUAUUAUGGAGCUACAAUGGUGCUUCGGGUUUCAAAAUCUGACAAAAAUCGAGGGAAGCCAUUCUGGAAGUGUCUAACCUCCUAUGUAAGUUUUAAUUUAAAGAAUAUGUAUGUGGGUGAAAAAAAAACCUAUGUCUAACUCUGACAGAAUUAUAUUCUAUAUAUGAUGCCUGCAAUUAGGGAGCCACCAGUUGCAAUGGAUUCGAAUGGGUUGAUAUAACCUCCGCUGAAGCAGAACAUCAAGAUGACACGUAUGAUGCUAGAGUGCUGAACAUGCUGAAGUCCAUUAAGGACUUGGUAUUAGUUUUAUUAGUUAUAUCAAUUGUCAUUUUAUUUGUUCUUUUAAUGAUCAUUUAACUGCACGGUUUAAAAGAUUGUGAAAGUUCUCCCGCACAAGACAUGUUGCACGCACCACCAAUGAGACCCUAAACCCAUUUUGUAAUAUUUGGUAACUGCAUGUAUUUCGCAUGUUAUUGAAUGUUUAUUGAAGGUUUAUUGAUAGUUUGCUGCAUGUAUAUGGAAUAUCAUUGCCCCAAAAUUGGAUGUUUAUUGGGGCCACAAGUAUCACUCAAGUAAGAAAGAAGGGGGGAAACGGACCUUAUUCUUUCUUUUAGUAGGAAGAACAACUGUUAAGUUUAAUAUCCUAUUCAAUACGACUUCCCUAUGGUUGGUGUACUUGGGGACUGAAGUAUAUUGCAUCAUUAUUGUGGGCAAGGGCAUGUCUAUUGUGUGUGUUAAGGGAGUAUUGUGUGUAUAUUGCAUGUCUAUUGUGUGUAUAUUGCAUGUCUACUGUGUGUAUAUUGCAUAUCUAUUCUCUGUAUAUGGCAGGCCAAGUUUGUGUAUAUUGUUUGUCUGUUGUGUGUGUAUUGCUUGUCGGUGCGUUUGUGAAUUGUUGUUCAUUUUGUGUAUAUUGUCUUUGUUUCUACUUUUAUGCUACUGAGCUGCGGAAAACCUUUCGCAUGUUUAGACACCUAUUAUGAUGCAACACAUUGCGAUUAAUGGUGGCUUGCAUCAACAAUGACAUAUCACUUUGCAAUGAUGUAAUACACUUAAAAAGCCAUCUUCAAAUCCCAAUUCACAUAUGCAGUCUUAAAAUUCCAAUUCAAUGCAGUUUGGUUAACAAACAUGUAAAUGUCAUGAAGGAGUUAGCGGUAGAAUUCGAUAAGGACCCGUACGUCUCUAUUGUGUAUUUACAUUAGUUUGAGAAUGGACAUUCCCAAAACCUUCUCAUGUACCAUUUGUCAUCUUCAACCAAUAUCAUGGGAAGUAAGCAUCUCCCCUUGUUAUCUCCGCAGCCAAUUUCAACCGAAAAAAAGGCAUGUUGUGCGAGGUGCAAGUAGCUAACGGAAGCUUAGCGCUGAAAAGCUCAAUGUACUUUAACACAAACAUGCCACAAUCGCCUCUGAAGCAAAACAAGAACUCGAUCAAUUAAACUAAUGACAUUCUAACGUAAUUGACAAUUGAAAGUAAUAAAAUUAAAUUGCAAGUUGUGCUUACUCAUUAGACUGUUGUGGAACAUCCACACGCUCUAUUGGCCACGGACACCACCAAUCUCGGCUGCAAUUGUUUGCAUAAACACCUUCUUCAUAAAAGUCGAUGGUGUUGAGAAGAUUUGGAAGCGUAAUUGAUAGCGGGCCGAGUUCUUCCUUUACGAUGUCAUCUGGAAUUAGUGAAACCUUUGAAUCGUACACUUUGAUUUCACACAAUACCAGAUCAAUCAUUACAGCCACCCAAUGCUUGUACUUCGUCAACAUAAAUGGGGUAUACACCUUAUAGACGGUCUGCCAAUCCAACCCACACGGAGGAACCUUCCCAUUUACAACGUUUAGUAAACUUUUUCUGAUUUUCCACCCAAGCUGCUGUUUUUUUCUUUUAUUAUCCGCAAAGCAAGAACGAAUGUGAUUCUGUGAAAUACAAAACAAUCAAUGCUUAAACACCUCCACUAGUGUGUGUAUGGAAAAUGUGUAAUUAUUAACGGCACUUGGUGAAGGCCGAUGACAUACCAUAAAAAAAACAUCGGUCGUUGUCCAGUCCGCUACUUCUACCGAAUCUGUCUCCAAUUGUUGUUGUCGCUUCCGGAUGAGAUACAACCCCAAAUCAAUGUGCUGCAACAUGUUUUUCUUGUCAUUCUCAUAAUGUAUGUGCAUUAAAACAAAUGCAUAAUCAAUUACACUUACAUCUCCUUUCAGCCAACCAUCAGCUUUCACGAGGGAAGCGAAGAAUUCAAUCUCAGCUUCCACGUUGCCAAAUUGCAUCACCAAACUAUGAAUAUAAAACAGUUUUAGAACACUGUAUAUAAAAAAUUAUAUACAGUCAUGCUUCUAUCUUAUAAUUGCAAGGGACUUACUUUGGGUCCUGGCGCCAUUCCCAACAAAGUUUCAGCAAUUUCACCAGAUCAUCAUGCGGAAUCGCCUUCAUUGGGUCUAAGAUCUUCAGUCCGGUUGUCUGUGCCCCAGUUUUUGGAACCAAUUCACUGCCUUCAACGAUCUUCCACAAAGGAAUGAUCCUCUUCCUUUUCCGUAAUUGGACCCCUUGUGCCAGAGCUUUACCUUUAUCAUUCAACCACACGUUCAACUGAGAUAGCACAGCUGUAGGUUCAUCCAAAUCAAUGUCCCCGACAGUAAACUCAAGCAGUGUCCCCUCCGUGCUCUCGCCAGUGUCACCCCCAUGCAACAUAACUUCAUUAUCUUCUUUCUCACAUUGGUUUCUUUGCACUUCCUUUUCCUCACUUGUUUGUGUUUUCACUUCCUUGCCCUCCCUUUUUUUCCUUUGCAGUUUCUCUCCCUUACUGCUUUUUCUUUUCACUUCCUCUCCCUCACUGCUCUGUCUUUGGGCUUCCUCUCCUUUGCUACUUUUUACGUGCACUUGCUCUCCUUCACUUCUUUUCCUUUGCCCUUCAUCUACCUCACUUGGUUUUCCUUGCACUUCACCCCCUUCAAUCCCCUCCUCUUCCUUUUCCUCUCCCUCAUUUCUAUUACUUGGCCCUUCACCUCCUUCAAUCCCCUCCUCUUCCUUUUCCUCUCCGUCAAUCCCCUCCUCUUCCUUAUGUGCUCCCUCAUUUCUAUUAUUUGGCCCUUCACCCCCUUCAAUCCCUUCAUCUUCCUUUUCCUCUCCCUCAUUUCUGUUACUUGGCCCUUCAUCCCAUUGAAUGUCAUCCAUUUCCCCAUAUCCCUUAAAUAGAUGUGAGACGACACAACGAUUCGUCCUCUGUUUCAGUAAAGCUAGGUCCCUCCUUACUUCCUGCUCAAACUGAGGACCUAAACAUUGGUCCAACAGUUUUUCCAUCCGUAUGACCUUUAAGUGAAGGACGUCUUUUUCCCGCUUUACUUGAAACAACUCGGACCUCAACAAGCUUACCACCUUGUUCAACUCAUCAAGAUCACCACAUGAAGAAGGAAUUGACUCUGUCGAGACAACAGCAGGGCGAUCCUGUGGCCAACUCCAAUAUGGCUGUCUCAUUUCCUCUUCACUUGGACAUAGCGCCCGCAACUGAACUGACUGUUUCAGAAUACAGACAAGAGUCAUAUUAAAUCAUUCUACUUCAUAAUUUCAUUCAAUCUUAUCAAUAGUUCUAAGGGCUGCAAACCAAACCUCUUUGCUCUGGAAAAAAUAAUUGUUCAACUUUCUCAUCUCUGGAACAGACGUAGUAGUUCUCCAUCGCAAAAUACGCGGGACAGCGGUCGGAUCAACAACCUUGCAGUAAUUCAGGUCCGCCAUUCUAGGAAUUAAUUCAUAUACCCAAAUCUACACAAUUCACAGGACAAAACUCAUUAUUUAUGUUUUAAAGAAAAACAAAACAUAACUGACAUGAACAUUAUUACCAUGUACCUGGAAAGCAUACGUGAAACCUUUAAAACUCCAGCCACUCCUUUGCGCUUCACCAUGCUUAUCCUUCUUGCCCUUCUCAUUUCUCUGGCUUGUUCCCGUUACCUUACUUUUCCCCUUCCCUCUUCCCUCUUCAUUUUCCAAGCUUUUCACAUACUUUGUUGGUGCAGAAAAUAGACUGUCUUGGGUUUUGUCAAAGGACACCGAACCCCACGGAUACCUGUUGAACGCAUCCAAGUCCUCUACAAGGGUCAGGUAAUUUAGAUUGAUGUUCAAAUGUUUGUCCCUUCCCAAAACCACUAACUCAGCAAAGUAAACAAGAGCUAGCUUGUAGAUGUCAUCUUCCUCUGUGCACCUCACAAAUGCUUCUUCUAAAGCAUUGCAUGUAAUUCCUUCGUCUAUAAAAUAUCUUUUCUGAAGUCUGAUUUCAUUACUCUCUCCACUGGAAACUUCAGGCACUUCCCCAAAACGAAGCCCUGUGAUCAAACAGAAAUCCUGACGAGUGAACUGAGCAACGUCACACCCUAAUAAGAAACUCAGUCCAUCCAAGUCUUUCACACCCUGCCCCGCUACUCUACGCAACACAACCCCAUGCACAAUCUGUCCGCUAAACUGAAUCUUAUCUAUAUUCAGAAGAUGGCCAAAGCAUGAUGUCUUGAAUUGUUCUAAUUGUUCCGCACUCAACUUCGCUCGAAUUGCAGCUAGAGAUGAAUUUGCAUGUGAGCAGUUGUUCACCCGUGACGAAUAUACCUCUGCCUCUGGCCAUACCAGCUCCACGUUGGAUCCCAUUUCCUCAAAUACAAUGUGAAAUAACGUGAACAUAUAUACUACCACGUAUUUGCACAAUCACAACUAGUCAACCAGGCACAUUACAACUUUUACAAAGUACAUGAGCAUAGGGAUUACUCAUCACAGGCUUUAACAUCAUCAAAGCAAUAUGACAAUUUUUGUGCAAAUACCUGUUAAUGCAAUGAUUAUGUGAAUUACAAACAAUUUCACGUGUUUUAUUUAUGGAUCCAUACUCGUGUGAGUGCAAUGUAGGCAAGUUCUGCACUUCACACACAUGACAAUUAUUGUCAUCUCAUACACAACCCAAAAUAAAUAAAUAAGAAAUAUAGUGGAAGGAAGCAAAGCAAAGCAUGUACUCUGCUAUCUGCUUGCUAAGCAAUUGCCACAUCCUUCUUUCUUUCUACCUUUUUCUUCAGUCACCCACAAUCGUCAUAGAUCAACCUUCAUUUCAAAUGCUUUGCACUUUUAUUCAUGAGUUUAUUAUUAUCUGUUCUCAUUUCUCAUAGGCAAAUUUAGUAACAAAUGAAAUAAUAUUUAUUUCACAAAAUAUAUAAAUUCUAGUGCCAGAGAGGUACUCUUCACUCUGCACUGCUUCAAAUGUGGAAGGUUUUGAGAUGUUAUUGACAUGUGAUUGACUUUAUUUUCAUUCGUUUUUUAACAUAUACCCAAGCAAAAAUUAACAUGCAAUUGAAGCACAAAUAAGAGAUGCCAAAUCCAACAACAUUGAUGGUACAAAUUGGGGAAAACCAUUACUCUAACCCUAAACUCAAAUUCCUUACAUUACUCAUCAAAUGCUUUGCAGUUCUAUUCAUGAGUUUAUUAUUAUCUGUUCAAAUGUUUCUCAGGCAAAUUUAGUAACAAAGGAAAUCAUAUUUACUUCAUAAAAUAUAUAUAUAUAUAUAUUCUAGCGCCUCUUCUUAAUCUGCACUAUGCACUGCUUCAAAUGUGGAAGGUUUUGAGGGCCUCCUCCAAUUCAACACCAUUAUCUUAUUCAUAUCAUUAUUGACAUGUUAUUCACUUGUUAUUGACUUGAUUUUCAUUCUUUUUUUAACAUAUACCUAAGCAAAAAUUAACAUGCAACUGAAGCACAACGAAGAGAUGCCAAAUCCAACAAAAUUUAUGGUACAAAUUGGGGAAAACCAUUACUCUAACCCUAAACUCAAAUUCCAUAAAUUACUCACCAAAUGCUGGUUAUUGCAAGGUGUCUGUGUGGGGUCUUUCUGUUUCUUUGCUCCACAAAUGGAACCUACCACUUCCAACGAAUACAGCUUCUCCCCUUCCCCUUCCACUGCUUCGCCUCUUCACUGAUUUGGAAUCCACACCUUUGCCCCUUCUACUCCAAAUAAAUACUUUCUCGGGGUCUGGAGAACGGAGUGGCGAAUCGUUGCCUUCAACUGUCGUUAGCCGUUGCCUUCAUUGGGUAUCUCAGACCUCUGUGUUUUAGAGAGAUGAGUUCUUUCUGUUCAAACUUCGAACUUGCCUCUUCUUCUUCUUUUUCGGACGUGUUUCCCUCUUCUUCUUCUUUUUGGACGUGCUGGAUAUUCAAUUCGGGUUUGGGUUCCUUACCUACCCAAUUGUGAAACUUUAACUCAAUUCUCCCCAGCCCUUGGAUUAAUCUGAUGGCUAUAAAGUGAACCCCUUAUAACUUACCCCUUAUAACUUUCCACUCAUUAUAGUCUUGGCGAAAUUGAAAACCCCAAACGAGGUUUUGGCGCUUACAAGUUAACUAUUCUUCUGGGCUAUUGUUGGAGUUGAUGUUGUGGCAGCAGUGUGUGACAAUUAGAGCAAGCUGUUAAGAGGGUGAAUGAGACCAAUACCACUUUGUGAUCAAAAGCAAGCUGAAUUCCGAGUGGGAAUUAAUCUCAUCCUUCUGGAGUGGGGACACUUUGUGAUAUUUACCUAUAAAUAAAAAAUAAAAUAAAAAGAACAAUAGCUUAAACCAAGGCUUUUUAUACAAAGGACAUACUGAUGUAGUGGUUCGAAGCAAUGCUCUAUCAAGAAAGGUUUAGAGUUUGAGUCCUAGCAUCCAUGCAUUUUGUGUGAGUUUAGUAUGCCAAUAGAAAGGGUUCCCAAAUAAGAAACCAACAUUUUUUUUUAUAAUUAUUCUUACAGUUUUAAAACUUUAUUUUUAGGCACAGUUGACCUGUCGCAUCCUACCUAUCGACUGGUCGUUUAUGCACAUAGAGUGAUUUCGUCAUCGCCAAACUCAAUCGACCGGUCGAGUUCCAAAUGUCGACUGGUCAUUUCUUCAUAGAUAGCACCAUCUUCAGCUCCAGACUGUGGCAACUGAUCGUUUUCUCCAGUGCGACCGGUCAUUUUCUUCGCGAGAGUAAUAUCUUUAAAUAGAUCAUUAUGCACUUCAAGUCCAAGAUUCUCCAAUCCAAGAUUCUCUAAUUCACUCCCCUUCUUCCUCUGAAUUGAAGAUGAAGGAGAGACAUAAUAGGACACUUCUUUAUGGAAAGUCACGUCCAAAGUAACAUGCACCUUCUAGAUAGGUGGAUGAUAGCACUUAUAACCUUUCUAAGUAGAAGAGUUACCAAUAAAAAUACAUCGCAGAGCACAAAGAUCAAAUUUACUCUGUUGAUGGGAGUAGACAUGAACAUAGGCAACAUAUCCAAAAACUUUAGGGGGCAACUUGGAGAUGGAGACAGGGGAAACAUGGUCACUAGACACAUCAUGUGGAGUCUUGAAAUCAAGAAUCCGGCUAGGAGUAUGAUUAAUCAAAUAGGCAGCAGACAGAAUAACAUGCCCUAAAGAUGAUAGGGAACAGACAUAUUCAAUAUGAGUGAGCAGACAACUUCAAACAAUUGUCGGUUCUUCUCUUUAGACACACCAUUUUGUUGAGGGGUAAAAGGGGGUUGUCAUUUGGUAAAUAAUACCUUGAGCAUGAAAGAAAUAUACCAAGUUAUCAGUCCAGAAUACUUUGACCUGAGCAGGAAAUUGAGUAGACAUCAUAGUACAAAAUUCUGGAAGGAUGGAAGCAACAUCAUGUUUAUUUUUCAGCAAGAAAACCUAAGUGAGUUGGGUACAGUCAUCAAUUAAUUUGACGAGCCAGUUCGAAGUAACGCAAGCCGGACUCCACACAUCAGAAUGCACUAAAUCAAAAGGCUUUUCAACUUUACUGUCACUCAAAGAAAUCACAAUGGGAUGGCUCUUGGCCAAAAUACAUGUCUCACACUUAAAAUUAGACUCAUCACAAGAGCGGAAUAAAGAUGGAAACAUAUGCUGAAGAUAGCCAAAUCACGGGUGUCCCAAGCGGCGAUACCAUAACUAAAUUUGUUGUUUGUCUUUGGCAUUACAGCUUUGAACAGUAUUAACAACACUGGUGCAGAAGGUAAUGUCAAAUAAUAUAACCCUCUUUUCCGUUUACCAUGCCCAAUCGUCUCGUAAGUCGUGAGAUCUUAAAAAAAAGAAAUGUGUGUGAUAGAAAUUAGUAGAACCAUUAAGUGUAUCAAUUAAUUGACUAACAGAUAACAAGUUACAAUGGAUAGUGGGAACUAGUAACGCACGAGACAAGGACAGAUUCGAAGUGAGUGAUAUUGUGCCCUUGCUAGUAAUUGGAGAGGGCAAACCAUUAGUACUAGUUAUAUAUGGGUCACAAGUGUUACUAGAUAAGUCAUCAAAAAAUUUAGCAUUAUAAUUCAUAUGAUCAUAAGCACCAGUGUCAAUUAUCCAAGUAUUAGAGUCAGGACCUGGAAUAGAGUCAAAAAUAAACAAAUUUGCAAAGCAGCAACAAUAGCACCAUUAAUGGAGUUAUCACCAUGAUUGCAACCGAAACUCAACAUAUCACGACAGAGUACACAGCGGAACACAACAGAGGCACAAAUAUGGCAGAUGUACGAAGACAGGCACGAACACAAAACACAGCAGAGUACAUAACAAAGGCACAAAUACGGCAAAUGCACAAAGACAGGAACGACACGAACACAAUAGAUACACAAACACUAUAACAGAAUACACAAACCCAGGAGAGCAGACACGGCACAGGUAGAAAAAAUAUAGGGCUAGAACACAGUUGGGCACAACACACAGGUCACCAAAAAGUUGGCUUUGAUACCAAGCCAAACAAUAUGGGGUAGAAUAUUUUCUAAUAUAUUUUUAUUCUCCAAAAUGAGGUAUUUAUAAUACAAGUGUGUAAACCGUAGUAUGGUUAUUCAAGGAAACAAAUAAACUCCUAAUUACACAAGAUUUGUACAAAAGAUAAAUUAAUAAAAUCCUAAUAGAAUAGGGAAUAAUAUCCUAAUAGAAUUAGGAGAUUGCCCAUCCUUAGGGACACGCGCAAGACCGAGCAUGUGGUAACUCAUUCGGCGGCUGAUUAACCCGUUAGCUCAGCCACAUGGUCAACAUAUCACAAAAAAUAGUGACCUUGAGAGGUUUUUCAGCAUCUAAACAAAAUAACUCCACCCUUUCAGUAUAAUUUGCAUCUCCUUGAGACCAUUUACUGACUUAGGCAUGUGAGAUUCUACAACCUUUAAUAUUCAUCUUUCCAUGCGGUUCCUAAGGAUAACAUAAGGUUAAUCUCUUGAACGUUCACGGUGGUAAAUACACCUCCAUAGGCAAUAAGGUUCAUUGGUCACCUACGAUAAACUUCUCUUGCUUGAAAAACAAACAUAAUGGGAAGUGAGACUCCCCUACAGGAGUCGAACGGUACUUCAAUAAAGAGAAAGAAAGGUAGGGCAAACAAGUCAGAUCGACGAGCGAUAGCGAGGUGUUGUCUUUUAGCCUAGAGAAAAUAGGUAUGGUAACUACAACUUCCUAAUAUGAAGAGUAAACGGAACGGUAGUGAGGCUCCCCGACAGGAGCCGAACGGUACUUCAAUCGAAGGAAGAACAAACAAGUCAACGAGCGAUAGCGAGGUGUUGUCUUUCAGUCUAAAAUAUAGAUCGGAAUGGUAACUCUAACAUUAGUAGUUGAAUAAUUCUCUGAAAGGGAAGUGAGGCUCCCCUACAGGAGCUGAACGGUACUUCAAUAGAGCAAGGAAGACAAACAGGAGCCAGGUAUGUUGUCCGAGCGGAGCGAGCUCCUUUACAAUUUAUAAUUAAAUCUAGGUAGGGUUACUAUAAAAGCAUCCCAAUAUGAAGAAUUCCCUCUGUAAGAGAGUAAGGCUCCCCUACAGAAGCCGAACGGUACUUCAAGAAUAGAUGGGGAUUAGUAUCAAUUCUAAAUUCUUGAUAGACAGAGAAAAACAUUGUCUUUGCUGUUGUUGGGAAUGAACGAACGCACUCAGGGCGUCCCCCCCGCCCGGAUAGAUGCAUAGAUAUGACAGCGAAGCGAAAGCGACGGUGGCUCCAUACCCUUAAAGGUGGGAAUUCUCAAGAAAUCAGUCUUUCAAUAGACUUUUCUUGGGACUUCUCAUACUAAGGGGAGGUGAAUCAUAGCAGAGGCUAACGAGCAAGAAAAGGCCCCUUACUAUUAUAGAUAGGCUAAGGCGCUUCUUUUUCAAAGUAAAGUUUCUCGUCCAGUGGUCAGGACAUCGUCUUUUCAUGUCGAAGACACGGGUUCGAUUCCCGUAAGGGAUAGGUACUCAUUCCCGGCCGCUUUCAGUUAGUGUUCAUUGCUGAGUGAUCGCUCGCUAUUUGGUUGGAAAGGGUGGUCUGGAAGCUUCCUCUCUCCCAACAAGCAAGACGAGAUCACCGCUUCUCUCAGUAAUGGACUUCCUUGAAUUCUUCCUUAUCCUGAUUCCAAAGUUUUUAUUUAUUCUUUACUUUUAAGUGAAAAGGGGGAGUUGGAUCAUAAAGAAGAGUUUGUUCCUUAACAAGUAAGCAAGUAAACUACCUUAGCGCAAGCACUAAGGAGCCUACUCGAUUGACAAGCAUAGCCUUGAUAGCUGCUUUAUUCGCCUGUGAACCAGGAAUUGAUUAAAAAAUAGGAAGCGGGCCAUAAGCGGUGAUAGGCUCCCUCCCUCCCAUCCCUUUCUUUUCUUCUCCCCCCAACUUUAUUCACUUCGCGGUAAACAGAGACUUUCCAAUAGCCAGCAGGGCAAAGCCUUUUUUGGGAGUCCAAGGGUGCCGCCCCCUACUACCCAAUUCCUGUCUUCGGAACUACGAAGAUAAGUUACUUUCUGCGAUGGCCCUCCACCUCGUUGGGAAAAGUAAAAAGAAAUAACAAGCCCUAAACUAAAUAUCAACUAGUAGCUUAUCAACCACCGAACACAGACUCAUGUUGGCGAUGCCAUGGUCAAGUAAGAGGACGACCCAUUCACCUCAAAAGAAAAAUCUCGCCUCUCAAGUAAGCCAAACGAUUGACGUCAAAGAGAAGGACCACCCACCCAGCAAAGAGCGAGGUCUUUCAACAAUGAACUUCACAAAAAGAGUGGAAGGCGAGAAAGAUACUUAGACAACAUUAGAAGAUCUUUUUUUUUUACUGUAUGAGUGGCUCGGAAGAAUAAUCGCGCCUCCAGUCGAUUUUACUUCAUGUCUGACUAGAUAAGUCACAAGGCCUAUCCUUUUUCAGGCCCAGGUCAUCUAGUCGGGGUCGACCACAAUUUCCCAAGUAAGAAAGAGAUAGAAUUUCACUAAUUGGAUUGGAAGAAAAAGGAGGGCUUCGAUCCAUUGUGAUUAGGAUCCUUGGUGUGGAGAGAUCUCUGCCAAAAAUCAAAGAGCGACGUAAUUCCCCAUUCAUCUGAAGUAGUAUUUUAGUAUAGAACAGAGGCUUUCUGAGCCGACUACUACGACUACAUGCGCAUCUAGUGCAGUGGCUUGGAAGCAAGCUACCUUGACCAUCUUCCGAAGUUCUAAAUAAUCUACUGAUCAAACGCUGUAGGCGCAGACUGCUCUACAUUCAGCCACGCCACAGUGACCUUCUAAAAUUCAUCUAUCUGAUUGAUGGAUCAUAAAACAAUUCAUGGUUCGGGCAGUUAUUAAGAAUAGGAAGGGAUAACCGAAUUGAGUUCAUGGAUUAAACUAGGUCGGGUUACAGACCAAAAAAUUAUUUUUCUAUUCGAAACCCAUUCAAAAGAAGGGACAGUGUACGAGAAAUCAAAUAAUACAUAAAUGAUAGAAGCCUCGAACGUUCGGAAAAUGCUAUGAGGUGGGUACAGAGGAGACGAGGGGUGCUAACCCAGCCACCCAACCCAGCAGGUCAGGGGCGGGCCGGCCAUAGGUUCGAAUCCUGCCACCUUUCUUGUGGAUCAUCCUGUGGUUACCGGAUGAUGGGAAUAACAAAGCAGAAAUUAUGAAAUGAGCACGAAAUGUCAAUAUAUGAAUUGUUUCAUUAUUCGUUAUUUCCGGGUCUUUUCAUUGCAUUCACUUACAACAAGAAACAACCACCAGCGUUUGGUGCAGCACCUGCAUUUUGGUGCAUUCUUCUUUCUUUCCUUGGUCUUUCGUUCCGUCAUAUUCCUAAUAACUUAUCCAAUUACAACGUAUUAACCGCUAAUGCACCUUUCUUUUAUCAAAUCUCAGGGACAUGGUAUAAUCAUGAGGGUAGUAUUUUAUCAUGGUGUCGGAUCCCAAGUUUUUAUGGAUUCCUUCUUUGUUACUGGGGUCGACCCCAAAGCCAUAAUGUCUCAAAACGAGGAGGCCAUAGAGAAACUCUUUUUUAUUCCUUUGUCUCGAACUUCGUGAAGAACUCCAUUCUAUCUCUCCCUCGUUACGAACAAAAAAGUGGUGGUGUUGUCUAUCUUUGUGGCACUUUCCUGAUUCAAGACUUGCUGUACUCACUUUGAUGUAUUUUAUAAUAUAAAUUAUAACUAGCUUAAGGCUUGAUAGAACUCGUAACACAGCUUAUAAAGAAUACAAGAUAAGAUCUCAAGUAAGAGUAAGAGACUUAGUCUAAGAAAGGAAAGUCAUUUCGUGAAAUGGGAUUCGUAGCCAGCAAGCAAUAGCAUCCUGUUGUUAUAGAAGAAAUGAAAUUGCAUAAAAGAAAUAAGGACCUCGCUCGAAAGCGAAACGAAAUGGGGGACACUAUCGGGUAUGCCUGACAGAGAGAAUUGCUUGCAACGCAACUACAAGCCCAGAUGCACGAAUGAAAAGAAUAUCCAUGUGGCUGCGUAGAUAUUUUCAGAAUAUUCUAGAUUUUAAUCCAUUUGACUGCAUGCUUCUUACUGUUUUUCUGUUAGCUUUGAUCUUUAUCUAUCUAUGGCUUUAUUGGAGAGGGAGAAAGAUUCCCUUUCAAUUGAAGCUAAUCGUGCAUCUCGUUUUGGUUUUUUUUACUUUUUUUGUGGUCGCACAGAUCCAAAGUUCUUUCUUUAUUGCCGUAGGGGCCAUUCUGGUGGUAAUCCAACCAAAAAGAGUUUCUCUUCUGAGCACCGCUUUAUUCCACCUUGUCGUAGGAGAUAAUCUAGUCGUCCUUUGAAGCUAAAGCCACCCUUGCCCUUCAGGUUCCCUAAGUUAUUAGCUGAAGAAGUCCCGUCAAUGGAUAAGAGAAGGUAAAGCCACGAGCAAGCUUUAUCUAAAUCUGCUAACUCCUAGCUUUUGUUCCUAGCCAUUAUUGCCUCCAGGGAAAAGACCUAUAGUCACAUAAGCGAAAGAUUCUUUCCUCUCAUCUAGUGGAACGGGGCCUUAACCUGUUAUUAUUCUUGAAUGGACUGAUUUCGGAGGGAAUGCUUUAGAGCUAAGAAUAAUUUGUAAGGGAUCGAGUGGCCGGUAUUGGACGAAGGGGAAGCUGCCCCAACCACUACAACAUAGGGGGCUCGGAAGGCAAAUUUGUUCACUGUCCUAGAUUCAGAGGGGGUCGUGGAAGAGGGGGAAAUUCAUACACCUAGGGGUAUCCAGCAGGAGGACUUUUUACUUUUUCUCUUAGAGUCCUCGGGAGCAUUUUUCUCUUUCGGUGGAACCGGUGAACCACGCGAGCUGGUUAGAUGCGCGGGACAAAGGGCUCGUAGUACCUGCUAGCGCAGCUAUGCUUUGUAAGGGAAGGAGCCUAAAUCGAACCCCUUCUUUCUUUUUUUUUCUUUGAAAAAAAGCAGUACAAAGAGAUUCUCGGAUGAGACUAAGCAGCCACCGACCGUUCUGACGCGCCCCUAACCUAUCUUGAUUAAGACCGAAAACUCUCUAAAAUGGAGCCUGGUUUAAGCUGUCAAACAAAUGAUAGAAUAAAAAAAAAAAAAAAAAAAAAAAAAGAACCACUAGUAGGGAUAUGGAUGGAGUCUCGCUCAGUAAAGAGAGUUGUAGAUUAGUAGAAAAGGAGAAGAGCCUUUACUUGAUAUAUUAUAUAUAAGUAUUAGUAAAGCGCUAACGCUGCCAUUUUUCUAAAGCAACAAGCGCGAAACUUUACUUUUUGAGAAAGAAGGUGCUUGUUGCCGCUUUAUUAGUAAGUAAGCUUGUUUUAUAUCAUAUCAAUAAAGGCGAAAGGUUGCUUUACCAAAUAAUAUAAGGCGCGUUAGCGCUUUAGAAGGACAUUUAGGCUUUACUAAUAGAAUAUAUAGGGCGUUUUUUUCACACAGGUUUGGAACCCUAUACAAGGGGCGUUUCCUUUCAAAUGACAACAGCCUCUUCCUGCUGCGAGGGCGCUGCGCGAAACCAAACCGCCCCCCCCGCCCCCCCCGCCCGAUCAAGUACCAGUUGCUUUACCGGCGGGCCCACUUAGGCGCGCGCGCGCUUCGGAUUGUCUAUUACUCAUAUUGCAUAUUCGUAAUAGCCAUCUUUCUUGAAAGAAAAGCAUAAGGAACGUUUCCCCCCUUAAUCCCCC